Molecule: long non-coding RNA, 49361 nt
Filed under: Triticum aestivum (bread wheat)
Lineage: Eukaryota; Viridiplantae; Streptophyta; Magnoliopsida; Poales; Poaceae
Description: long non-coding RNA (TAES_LNC022714)
Source: RNAcentral
UUUUUUUUUAUUUUUUUAUUUUCUGUUUUUUGCACAGGUUACAAAAUGUAUAAUUUGACAAAAUAUAAACAGCACACAUCAACAAUAGAUUCAUCAAAUACAAUAGAAGAUUAGUCUUUGAAUACAAUUCAUCAUAUUAGUCUCCGAAUACAAUUCAUCAUAUUAGUCUCCGAAUUAAAAAGACCGAACAAAGAUAGAACAUUAUAUUACAAGUCUCGAGACCGCGAGUAGCGAGUUUGUCUUCGCAUUACAAGUCGAUAUCGAUCAUCUAAACUACCAUCACAUAGAAGAGAGCUGCGGUCAUCACGAUGAGCAUCAUCACGAUGAAACUCGUCUUCAUCCGGUUCCUCCAACGCUCCCUCCCCUCUCCCGCUAGAUAGCGGGCGUAUCUAGAUUCGGCCUCGGCCCUAGUGGUGUACCCUUUGUAACUGUUACCGCUGAAUCGGUGAACCUGUCUCCGACACUCCUCCCAGUCAUCGUAGACUCCGGGAACCUUACCCUUGUACACGAUAUACGUCGGCAUCGCUAUGCACUAGCCAAACGAAACGUUAGUACCAAUUCACAGACAAUACAUAAGCAAUAUAUAAUUAUGCAACAGAACGAUCGGAAGAGAAAAGCAAGACAUUAAUAGCAUCGAUUACAUCUAAGUUGAACGACUCUCGAAACCAAAGAGACAUACUACAAGUUCAUUAAAGUUUAAUUACAACAUGAGCCAAUCGAUGUUUCAGAACUAGACAACUCGACUCAAGGGACCGGAGCGUGGAUGAAGCCGCCGUCUAUCGUGGGAGUCAUGAAAGAACGGGCGUUGUCAUCCUGCAUUUGUAGCAUUGUGUCGAUGUCACUGUUGGACGGUUGAUUUCUGAGGUAGAACUGCCCCGAGGUACGAAGGACAUCUUGAUGGAUGAUUUCCGCAAACUCCGACUGGAUGCGAAAGAAUUCUUGUCGGAGGUCCGCGUCCUGGAUUGCUGACACGCUCGCGGCCCAAUCUUGGAGUUUACUCGGUAGCAGAAGUUGAUGAUGGUCCCGUACGAUCGCCCGCAUGUGAUGGAUGGCAUAGUAGGCACCCUUCUGACCGCCAGGCGGCUGCUUGACGCAGCAGAACGUCAUAUUGUGGGAGAACACGUGCUUGCCGUACUUACGAAUAGGCCUGGUGAAGGUGCCUCCAGAUUGGGCGUAGCCGGGGAGAACAUCAUCAAGAACCUUCUUGACAUUUGUGUAGUCUACGUUCGACUGACGGUCCGGGUCGAAAUACGUGGCCAUGGAAUAUUUGGGGCUUAGGAGGAUGAGCGUGCAACGUGUGUCACUGCAGAAAACACGGAAUGUUAAAAGAAAAACGAUCGAAAAGUAAGAAUUCAUAUGUUACGGGCCGGUUGAGGGGAGGACUUACUCGGGAAAGUAAGGCACGAGGAAGUUAUCCUUAUCUUGGUUUGCCAGAAUGACGCCUUUGAGGUAAGAACUCGCGACUUGCCGGUCCCCAGCGCUGCCCAAGAUCUUGGCACGCAUGUAGAAGGGGUCGACUAUCACGAUGUCCGGGGUCUUGUCGCGAAUGAUCCGCAUCUCCAUACUCAGCGAAAAUAGCCGAACGAAGGUGUAGUGCAGCGGAUGAAGGUUAAACAUAGCAAAGAUGUCAUCAAACCGCAGGACGAUCGUACCCCCGAUGUCGCCAUCCACAAAGCCCUUGCCCUCUGGCACCUUGGCCACGAAAACCGGGUAUGCCACAUCCUUCUCUCUGAGACGCCGCUUCUCCAAAGAAAGAACACUAUCGUGCAGACUCCGCAUAGCACCGGUUGCAGCAUUGAGCAUAUUUGGUGGUAGCAUCGCCCUACCCGCCACAUGCACCCUCCUCGAGAUAUCCUGCGGUGAAGGUGGCCCGUCCUGAGCACGGAUCGUACUCGGUGCCGGCUGGCUCGCACCCUUCUUAGUCUUUCUUUUGCGUGCCUUCUUCUUCUCCUGUAAUGGGACCGAGUUCUGCUCACAGACCGCCUUCUUGAGUGUGUUGGGGCUGAUAAUAUUUCGCACCUCGCCUAUCUGAGGCUCGGUGAAGCCGGCAGCUGGAGGCGUCUCCUGAGAGCUGAAUGCCAGACGGCGCCUGUUGCAACUUGGCUUCUCCGCGGUACGAGCUAGAUCGCACACGUCUUUUGUUGGGUUUGGUUCUUGAGAAGGAGGCCCCAUGAAGUCGCCAUCGUACCCAUGCUCGGCAAAGUACUGAUCGACGUUGCCAAAUGUAUCAUCGUCGUCGUCGUCGUCGUUCUGAUCCUGUGCCAUAUGCAUGUUUGGAUCCAGUGGCAUAGGGAUGUCCGGCACCGUUACGGCGGUCUUGCCAUGGGGCCGACUUGGCGCCGGCACGACUGGCGGUGUUGUCUUUGGGGUGGUGUCCCCCGCCCCCAAACGAAUCUGGCUCUUUGGCCAAAGCAGGGGCCAGCUCAGGCAGGCGCUGAGGGUCAUCACGUCAUCAUCGUCGGCCCCGACGGGUCGAAUCGGAGGUAACAAGUCGUCGCAGCCUGGCAGCACCCGAACCAGUUGAACCCUAAACAAGUUGGGUGGCAUCUGGGUACCGUGGAACAAGGGGUUGCCCGGUUGAACGAUUUUGCCCUUGGCGACAUCGACCAACUCGUUGUUCACGAAGUGGAGGAGAGUGCACGGAACGUCGGCGGUGCCCUGCGAAAACAUGUAGGGCGUCAGGGAUGCCCAGUCAAAGGCAAGGAGAUGAAGUCCUCGGCCGAGAGAGGCUUAAUUAGUUACCGUGAUGAUGGCUUCAAGCUCGGCUAAUGUCGAGGCACCGCCAACGGCGGGCGUGCAGUUGACGGAGCGGCCGCUUGCUGAAGAGGUGCCGGCCGGCGUACACCCGGGUGCAUUAAGCUCCCGUGCCGGCGUCGGAGACACCAAUGCCGCCUCCUCCGGAGGCACCAAUGGCCCCGCCAUCGCAUUAUGCGAGUUGCUGGCCGUGAAGCUAGGAAUCGGGGGCGGCCCCUGUUGGCCGCCCGCAAUCCACGCACUCAACCCCGAGAUCAAGGUAGGCACAAGGGCGGUGAUCGUCGCUCCGAGUCGUUGUUCCACUUGCUCUUGGACAAUCUCCGGAAUCCGCGCCACCUGUGCCUUGAGUUCUUGAACCUCUCGCGCCUGGCUUUCCGAGCUGGUCUUUUUCUCCUUCCGCACACCAGCGGUAUAGUAUGACCCCCAUUUUGUCGACAAGCCUUUGCCGGCCACACGACCAGCUGACGUCGGCUUACUGAGCUUAUCCUUGUUCUUCAUUAUAUUCAACCCCCUAUUUAGAGUGGUGUCCCAAGGGUUGCUCUGAGUCGACCCCACGCUACUGCUUUCAGUCGCCUGCGGAAGGAAUGUGAACCAUUUAGAAAUUCGGCUUCAUUAAUUAGAAUGCAACCAUAUGGAGCUAAUUACGCGGGGGUGUAUUCCUUACCAGAACAAGCUCAAGCUGCCUGGUCUUCGGAUCCGUGGUAAGCUCCUUUGUUUUCGGGUCCUUCUUGUACCGGGCCCUGACAAAGUUCCUGGUCUGCUUGUCACCGUAUUUAUCGAAGAGGGGCGGUAGGCCUUGCUCGGCACGGUCCGCCUCCUCCUUGUCCCAUAUAGGCUCCGCCACUCUGUAACCGCCGGGACCGAGUGUGUGUUCCCCUAUGUUCAGCUCCCGCAUUUGUUUCCCCCACUCACUUGAUUGGGAGCUUGCGGUGCUCGAGCAAUUGAUCUUGAAGUCGUUGUAGUCAUCUUCGGUGAUCGAAGGAUUUUUCUCCUUGAUCUUCUCAUAACUCUCACCUUUCUCGAUCAUUCUCUUCACAUUGCUUUUCCAAGUAGACAGGGCCUUGCUUAUCUUCGUGAGGGCAGCAUUGUUCACUUUAUUCCCUUUGAGGCUUGUGUUUUCGAAUUCAGCGGGGAACUUGUAUCGUUCGUGCAGCUUCGUGAAGAGGAGGUGGCGCAAAUUCCCCCGGUCAGGAUGCCUCAGGUUCUCGGUGUUGAUCGAGACGGUGCUCCGGACAAUGCACCCGAGCUGAAGCGAGUACCCCUUGACUAUUUGUUCGGGCGCCGUUGGAUUCCCGUUGGAGUCCACUUCAGUAACUUCCUCCUUGAGGGUGCGGAGCACGAUCGGGCGCCGGUCCUUCCGUUGCCUCUUCGGCUGGCUGCUAUCUGUGCGUGCGCCGCCAUCAUCAGUGGUGGCAUCCUUGGCGGCACCAUCAGUGGUGGCAUCAGUGUGGUCAUCCUCGGCGGCACCAUCCGUGGUCUCAGGAUCGGUGGGGAAGGCGGCGGCCUCAUACAAGUGAGGUUGUUCCUCCAUCUCCUGGGACAGCUCCCAGAAUGCCUUGCCGCCCGAACCCCCGGCCUCAUCGUUGUGGGCCAUGUUUCUCUCUAAAUAGAAACAAAGUUUGAUCAAAAAGUUGGUUAUUGUCAAGGAACAAGAUCAUGGUCUCAUCAUUUAGGGUUUGUCGACACCGAGGCAUCCUAAAAUCUAAGCUUUUAUCAUUGAGGGUUUUUCGAUGCCAAGGCACCCUAAAAGCCUAACUUUUCAUCAUUUCGGUUUUUAUCGACACCGAGGCACCCUAAAAGCCAUGCAUUAGUCACAAGUACGCCGGGGCACUUGAUCCUACUUAAUUAACUACUAAGAUACCCCGGCCCAUGCAUUAGUCACAAGUACCCCAUAUGUCCUAUUUUUAGCAAAGUCAUGCUAAAAUUCACGAAAAAUUUCAGCAUGACCUUUGCUGAAAAUAGGACAUAUGGAGUACCCGAAUUUGCUGGAACGGAAGUUAAUCGACAUUCCAGCAAACUCAAGGGCCUCUCGGGUGGACAAGGCAAAAAAGGCCUCCAUCACAACAUGGAAAAUACAUUGGCAUGUGGACUGGAAUAUGGCUUCAUUUAACAACAACAGUUUCACACAGAAAACAGAGCUGAAUUCAUUGAGAUAUUUGCAUUGCUAGCUACAUUUCAGUGCCAAAUUUCGCCAAUUUAAGCAAAACUACCGUUUAGCUAGCUACAGUUCAGUGCCAUAUUUCACUGGAUUAAAAUAAGCACAUACACAUAACUGACAGCACACAUACACAUCACUGAUUUAACAAAAUUUGCACACAACUCAGUAGCACUUCAUCAUCAUAUAAAGUAUAUUAGCAGCAGUACAAAUAAAGAGACAUGACCAAAGUACUUCAUAAUAAACCCAAGCAACUUCAUAAUAAAUCACUAGUCCUACUUAUUGAUGGUUUCUAAAUCAUUUAUUUGAUCGAUAACAAAUAGCCUUGUCCUGCACAAAAUCUUUGUCCUCAGUUGUAAACUGAACUAUUGUCAGGUCAUGUUGUCAGGUCAUGUUGAAAGUAAAAUAGGACCUUGCUGUGUUUGGGACCAAAUAGGUCAUGUUGUCAGGUUUUGUUAUAGGCGAUCCGUAGUUAGCGUAGCUAUUGUGCAUCAAGAUUCGUUUUUAGUCCUAAGAAAACACAAGGUUGUCAGGGACGGUUUUUCUUUGACUGGGGUUGUUGUCGACCUAAAUUAAAGAUGCAGUGUUUGGCAGAUCCAGUCUGCAAACUUUGUCCUACUUACUGGAUCAACAAUGUUCUUAAUUCCAUUACCUAGUGUACAUACCAACAGCCAUAAACAAAAGAGCAACUAAUGACUGAGCCAACCAAGAGCCACAGACGAAACCAGCACAUGCUUGCACAUGCACUGAAGCUACAACUCUUAUCAAGGUAAAAAUAAAAGAGAAAAUUGCUUAUUCUCUCACAGAUGUUGGUUUGCCGAUCUGCAUCAGUAAAUGCGUUCUUUUUCAUCCGAGGAAAAUAAGCAAAAGAUUGUACUAGACAGCUAAUCGACAGUGUUCUUAAUUCCACUAGCAUAUGUGUAGUUCUAACUUCAUGCACUAAUAGUUCGCCUGCAGAGAGCUUCCUAACCAGGUUCGGUGUGUUUUACUAUUUGAUCCGUUAGGUAGCUAUUAUGCAUCAAGAUUCGUCUGAAAUCCUAAGAAAACACAAUAAGGUUUUCUUUGGCUGGGGUUGUUGCCGAUCUGAAUUAAGGAUGGAGUGUUUGGCAGAUCCAGUCUGCAAAAUUUAUCUUACUUACUAGGACAGCUGACCAAUAUUGUUCUUAACUCCACUUCCUACUGUACACAGUAGCAGCCAUGAAGUGCAUCAGUAGCAACGAGCACAGGCGCAACACAGGAUAGAGCGCAGCCAUGAAGUCAAGUUAACAAUAUCUGCCAAAACCUAAUACAAAUGAAUCAUAUGAAUAAAAAUGAUUGAUGCAGAAUCCAAAAUGGCAACUGGCAUACAUCGCUGGAACCAAUUGUGCAUAUAUGGUAAUUAUGAGUUUUACUUUGUAGAUAAUUAGAUACUGAAUUAGAGUUGCGUUUAUCUCCAAAUACAGCAGCUAUAUUCAUUAAGUUUCCAUCUAUCUAAUGGGGGAUCUUCCUCUUGUUCUCAUUAUUUCUCAUUCUUGUACACUAUUCUUCCCUUUUUUGUUUGAAGAAAAGAGAUCCCUACAUACUCAUGGCAAUGAAACUUAUCACAGAACAUGAUCAUUAGCAGUUACAUUGGACGAACUCUUGCCCCUCUAGGUUCCAUCUUUUCGAAAAUAGAACAACACAAAAUGCACCAACCUGUGGUGACAAGCCAAGGUUCAGAGCAAUAUAUAGGCCACUAAAAUCAGUCUAAACGUGACAAGCGAAGGGAAAUUAACAUAGUACGGAGUGGUUAAACUGUCACCGGUGCGCAAAAUAGAGCAAAGAUAGAUUCUUCUAAAGUAAGAGAUAAAUCCAACAGUUUGUUUGCUUCCUGUUAGCGCAACGUCAGGUCAAUAUUAGCUCUAUGUUCAUGAUAAUUUCAGCUGUCUAUAGAGAUGGUUUGGGAAUUUCAACUAGGUUGCUAUAUUUGACCAAAUUAUACAGUGACAUUUGUCUGACUGCCAACAAACAUGAAAAACCAACAACAUAGAUCCGAGGUGGGGCAAAAUGGCAACUGGUGGUGGUGGUGCUGGUGACAAGAAGAAAUAGAGAUGGGGCUCACGNNNNNNNNNNGGCGGCGUCGCGGCGUCGGGGCGGCGUCGAGGCGGCGGGGCAGCGGCGUCGGGAGAGGAGAGGAGAGGGGAAGGGGAUCGAGGGCGAGGGCGAGAAGGGGAUCGAGGGCCGGGGAGGAAAAAUAUGGAUGGGGGCACAAUACUAAUGGCGCACCACCCCCCGGUGCACCAUAAGUAUAUCCACACUAAUGGCGCACCUCACCCUGGUGCGCCAUUAGUAUUUUUUUUUGAUUUCUGCUCGAGCCAACAGGUUAUCUCCCACCUGACCUGAUCCACACCAAGUCCCCUCUACUAGCUCGACUGGUCAGUAGCCAGUUCUCACACCAGGAGGUCCUGGGUUCGACUCCCAGGCUCCACAAAUUUUUUUUAUCAUUUAAAAAGCUGUUUGAUACUUAUUUAUGUUUAAAUAUGUUCAAACUUGUUUAAAUAAUAACAGUAAUAUUUUUUUAUAAGACAGUAGCAUUUAAAAAGUUGUUUGAUACUUAUUUUUUUAUAAGACGGUGCGCGGGGUGCGGGGGGUCGGCAGCGGCGGUUGGGUAGGGGAAUCGAGGGUGCGGUGGGUCGUCGGCGGCGGCCGGUGGACUUGGGGGGUGCUCGGCGCCGAGGGGGACCAGAUCUGGCGAGGUGGGAUAGCGGUCGAGAUGGAGGGGGAUCGAGGUGGGCUCCACAAUUUUUUUUUUAGCAUUUAAAAAGUUGUUUGAUACUUAUUUGUGUUUAAAUAUNNNNNNNNNNNNNNNNNNNNNNNNNNNNNNNNNNNNNNNNNNNNNNNNNNNNNNNNNNNNNNNNNNNNNNNNNNNNNNNNNNNNNNNNNNNNNNNNNNNNNNNNNNNNNNNNNNNNNNNNNNNNNNNNNNNNNNNNNNNNNNNNNNNNNNNNNNNNNNNNNNNNNNNNNNNNNNNNNNNNNNNNNNNNNNNNNNNNNNNNNNNNNNNNNNNNNNNNNNNNNNNNNNNNNNNNNNNNNNNNNNNNNNNNNNNNNNNNNNNNNNNNNNNNNNNNNNNNNNNNNNNNNNNNNNNNNNNNNNNNNNNNNNNNNNNNNNNNNNNNNNNNNNNNNNNNNNNNNNNNNNNNNNNNNNNNNNNNNNNNNNNNNNNNNNNNNNNNNNNNNNNNNNNNNNNNNNNNNNNNNNNNNNNNNNNNNNNNNNNNNNNNNNNNNNNNNNNNNNNNNNNNNNNNNNNNNNNNNNNNNNNNNNNNNNNNNNNNNNNNNNNNNNNNNNNNNNNNNNNNNNNNNNNNNNNNNNNNNNNNNNNNNNNNNNNNNNNNNNNNNNNNNNNNNNNNNNNNNNNNNNNNNNNNNNNNNNNNNNNNNNNNNNNNNNNNNNNNNNNNNNNNNNNNNNNNNNNNNNNNNNNNNNNNNNNNNNNNNNNNNNNNNNNNNNNNNNNNNNNNNNNNNNNNNNNNNNNNNNNNNNNNNNNNNNNNNNNNNNNNNNNNNNNNNNNNNNNNNNNNNNNNNNNNNNNNNNNNNNNNNNNNNNNNNNNNNNNNNNNNNNNNNNNNNNNNNNNNNNNNNNNNNNNNNNNNNNNNNNNNNNNNNNNNNNNNNNNNNNNNNNNNNNNNNNNNNNNNNNNNNNNNNNNNNNNNNNNNNNNNNNNNNNNNNNNNNNNNNNNNNNNNNNNNNNNNNNNNNNNNNNNNNNNNNNNNNNNNNNNNNNNNNNNNNNNNNNNNNNNNNNNNNNNNNNNNNNNNNNNNNNNNNNNNNNNNNNNNNNNNNNNNNNNNNNNNNNNNNNNNNNNNNNNNNNNNNNNNNNNNNNNNNNNNNNNNNNNNNNNNNNNNNNNNNNNNNNNNNNNNNNNNNNNNNNNNNNNNNNNNNNNNNNNNNNNNNNNNNNNNNNNNNNNNNNNNNNNNNNNNNNNNNNNNNNNNNNNNNNNNNNNNNNNNNNNNNNNNNNNNNNNNNNNNNNNNNNNNNNNNNNNNNNNNNNNNNNNNNNNNNNNNNNNNNNNNNNNNNNNNNNNNNNNNNNNNNNNNNNNNNNNNNNNNNNNNNNNNNNNNNNNNNNNNNNNNNNNNNNNNNNNNNNNNNNNNNNNNNNNNNNNNNNNNNNNNNNNNNNNNNNNNNNNNNNNNNNNNNNNNNNNNNNNNNNNNNNNNNNNNNNNNNNNNNNNNNNNNNNNNNNNNNNNNNNNNNNNNNNNNNNNNNNNNNNNNNNNNNNNNNNNNNNNNNNNNNNNNNNNNNNNNNNNNNNNNNNNNNNNNNNNNNNNNNNNNNNNNNNNNNNNNNNNNNNNNNNNNNNNNNNNNNNNNNNNNNNNNNNNNNNNNNNNNNNNNNNNNNNNNNNNNNNNNNNNNNNNNNNNNNNNNNNNNNNNNNNNNNNNNNNNNNNNNNNNNNNNNNNNNNNNNNNNNNNNNNNNNNNNNNNNNNNNNNNNNNNNNNNNNNNNNNNNNNNNNNNNNNNNNNNNNNNNNNNNNNNNNNNNNNNNNNNNNNNNNNNNNNNNNNNNNNNNNNNNNNNNNNNNNNNNNNNNNNNNNNNNNNNNNNNNNNNNNNNNNNNNNNNNNNNNNNNNNNNNNNNNNNNNNNNNNNNNNNNNNNNNNNNNNNNNNNNNNNNNNNNNNNNNNNNNNNNNNNNNNNNNNNNNNNNNNNNNNNNNNNNNNNACAGUCGUGAGACUUCAUCCCGCUGAACUUCUGCUUCGCUGGGUCUAGGUAUCUGCUUAUCUUCCCCGCGUAACCGUAAGGAAGUUUUACUCCUAGGAGGCAGGUGAAAAACUGCUCGAUCUCCUCCUGACUUAGAGUGAAGCACGCGGGAGGGUAGUCAUUUCCGGUCUUCUUGGCCUUUUUGCCUUUGCGACGACUUUCUGUGUCCUGCUUCGCCUCAUCAUCAUCAUCAUCAUCAUCAUCAUCAUCAUCAUCAUCAUCAUCAUCAUCAUAUAUAGCGUGAAGCUCCUGCCUGAUGCCCAUUGAUUUCAAGUCUGCCCUUGCUUUCGGCCCAUCUUUGGUCCUCUCUGGCAUGUUGAGCAGGGUACCAAGCAGACUCUCGCACACGUUCUUCGUGAUAUGCAUGACAUCAAGGCUGUGAGGCACACGGUGGAUCUUCCGGUACGGCAAGUCCCAGAAAAUAGACCUCGUUUUCCAUACCUUCAGCAGCGGCUCUGGCGCCUUUCGCUUCUUUCCCGGCUCUGGCGCCUUUUGCUUCUUUCCCGGCAGUGGACAGUCUUUCCAAUUUUUCAACAGCUUGUCUAUUUCCUCGCCGCUCCUCGUACACGGGCGUUUUCGGGGUUCGGUUUCACCAUCGAACAGAUCCUUGCGUUUCCUCCACGGGUCAUCGUCGCGAAGCCACCUUCGAUGUCCCAUGAACACGGUUUUCGAAGACCCGGGAUCUCUAUCUAGCUGGCGAUACGUUGUGUCAUCCAUGCACCUUACGCAUCCAGAAAAUCCGUGGACUACCUGCCCCGCAAGAUAUCCGUAACCGAGAUAGUCGUGCACCGUCGUGAGCAGUGCGGCUCUCAUAGGGAAAUAUUCUUUCUCUGCGGCGUCCCACGUAUUGGCUGGCGUUUUCCACAGCGUGUCAAGCUCCUCUUUCAGCAGCCCCAGAUACAGAUUGAUGUCGUUCCCUGGUUGUUUCGGCCCUUCAAUUAGCAUACUCAUGUGAAUGUACUUCCUCUUCAUGCACAACCAGGGGGGAAGGUUGUACAUCCACACAAACACAAGCCAGGUGCUAUGUGUGCUUCUCUGGCUGCCAAACGGAUUGACUCCAUCGGUGCUCACGCCCAGCACGAUGUUCCUUGGAUCGUUCCCAAAUUCUGGGUAUUCGAAGUUCAAUGCUUGCCACUGGCUCGCAUCCUUAGGGUGACUCAGCAUCUUGUCUUUUUUAUCUAUCUCCGGAUCAUUUGCGUCAUCUUCUCGCUUCUUCUCCUCCCUAUCCGCGUGCCAACGUAGGAGCUUUGCUACCUUAGGAUCCGCGAAAUACCGCUGCAGACGAGGAGUGAUCGGAAAGUACCACACCACUUUUCGAGGAGCUUUCUUCCUCUUCUUGUAUCGAGUGACACCGCACACCGGACAUAUUGUAGACUCCGCGUGCUCGUCCCGAUAAAUGAUGCAAUUGUUCAUGCACACAUGGUAUUUCACGUGCGGUAAAUCCAGAGGACACACGAUUUUCUUCGCCUCCUCCAAACUGGUCGGGCACUUGUUCCCCUUGGGAAGACAUUCGUGCCAGAAUGACAUGUUCUCGUCGAAGCAUGCGUCGGUCAUUUUGUGUUUUACCUUCAUCUCCAGGGCCAUGAGCGUUACUUUCAGGCGGGUAUCCUCGGGCCUGCAUCCUUCAUACAAUGGAGUAACUGCGUCUAACUCAAGUUGAUCCAUCUUGGCUUUCUCUCGGGCGGCAGCUCUUGCGUUAUCCGUCUGCUUGAGAAGCAGCUCUUGAAUAUGAGGGUCCUGCACCCAGCCCAUCGAUGGUCCAGCGUCGUCUGCUCCGCCGGCAUCAUCAUCUUCAUGAUCAUGCCCGUCGCCUGCUCCGGCAUCUUCCUCAUCAUCAUGUCCUGCAUCUUCUACAUGAUGACUGUGUACAGCAUCACAGUCGUGAUCAUCUCCUGGGGAUUCUUCGUCUUCUCGCCCGCCCGAGCCGCGGUGGUUGUCUUGCUGCCCUUCCUCAUUUCUUGCCCGGCCCGCAUGGACGACUUCGUAGUCAUCUUCAUCACCUUGCCACCGAUAGCCAUCCAUGAAACCACACAACAGCAGGUGGUCCCGCACCUGCCCGGAAUCCGGGUCCGCAAUAAGGCUCUUCAGCUUGCAUCUUCGACACGGACAUCUUAUCUCCAUCUCGUUCUUUUGAAGCAUCUCGGCCUUCGCGGACCUCAAAAACCUAUUCACGAUGCCUUCGGUCAUCGUGCGGACCAUGGUCGCCUGCGGGGUAGAGCAAAACGAUAUUUUAGAACCAAACAAAAAUUUGGCAUGACCUUCCCUAAAAAUAGGACCAAAAAGAAUGCUUAAUGCCAAAAUUCUCGCCGAAACGGAAAUGAAUCAACAUUCCGGUAAAAUAUUGGCAACUAUCGCAUAUCAAAUACCGGUACACCUCCAAACACAAACACAUAUGCAACACCACAAACAUAUGCAACACCACGAACAUACAUAGAUCUAGCUAGGCCGUAAAAAGUGCAUGUGCACAUUGUUGUAAGGAGAACAACCUAAAUAUAGCUUCCCCCCUUACUUACCUAUUAAAACAAGGUAAUUUAACCACUUAAUUUGAAUGAAUCUAUGGUGGAAAUGAGGUGAAAAAGAGGAGGCACCCGAGACAAGGAGGAGGUGGAGAGAAUGAAGUGGGGAGAAAGUGAGUGUGUGGGUAGGAGAGGCUGUCCCAAAUAUCUUGUUGUUGCCCACUUACUAAUGGCGCACCUCUUGCAUGGUGCGCCAUUAGUACUUACAACUACUAAUGGCGCACUUGGGCAGGAUGCGCCAUUAGUAUGUUUGGAUAGGCGCACUAGUUCAAAAAAAAAAUCCUAUACUAAUGGCGCACCCACUGCCUGGUGCGCCAUUAGUAGUUACAACUACUAAUGGCGCACUUGGGCAGGAUGCGCCAUUAGUAUGUUUGGAUAGGCGCACUAGUUCAAAAAAAAAUCUAUACUAAUGGCGCACCUGCUGCCUAGUGCGCCAUUAGUAGUUACAACUACUAAUGGCGCACUUUGCCGGGAUGCGCCAUUAGUAUGUUUGGACAGGCGCACUAGUUAAAAAAAUUGAUACUAAUGGCGCACCCGUAGCAUGGUGCGCCAUUAGUUGUUUAAACUCUAAUGACGCAUCAGAUUGUGGUGCGCCAUUAGUAUAUACUAAUGGCGCACCAUCUUUCUGGUGCGCCAUUAGUGUCAAUCCCAUCUAUAGCCAUUUUCCUAGUAGUGCUAGGACCGCCGCCAUUAAUCUGAAGCCUCGCAACCGCGAGACCACACUCAGCAGGAAGGACAACAACGGCGGGGUAGAUCAGUGCCCAACUCUAGGUCGUCGGCAUGGCCGAAGGCCACAGCUAGACCACCAUAGGCGGCCCUAGCUGGACCUGACACACCCAGAUCUAAGCCAAAAGGCAAGAUCGGGCAGCCAAGUCCAGAACGCCCCGAGCGGCUCCACGUCCUGGGAGCCUGGCGCCAGAUCGACCGGCUGCCGGCGACGCCCCACCACCACCACAUCGCCACUCCACCGGGCUCCAGCCUCAAGCCAUUUUGUCCGCCGCAUCUCCGCCGCACCAAACGCAAAGCGCCGGCGGACGAACACACCCUGACACCCAGCAGCAUCAAGCCCUCACCCGAAGAACCGACUCGCGCCAGCCCUUUGCGCAAGGGGACAAUCAAUACCCGCCGCCGCCGCCGCCGACCGGGGCUUUUCCCAGCCGCGCCCUGUGGCGGCGGCGGCGAGGGAGGAGGAGAGUAGGGAGGGGGACUUGGCGGCGGUGGGAUUAGGGCGCGUCUAUAUAUGGAUCAACUCGAAUUAUCAGCCUAUCAUAUGAUUGGAGGACAUGCGUCACAAUGUGGGGCUGAGGGCAUCAUGGUGUGACGUCCCACCUUUUCCUUCAGGUGACGAACUGUCUAUCUAUCUAUCGUGCUGUCCUGUUCUUUCUCUUUUUUUUUCUUUUUUUUUUGGAGGAUGCUGUCCUGUUUGACGCACAUGUAGUUUAGGAACUACCACCUUCACCAAGAAGCAAGUGCGUGAGAACUGAGAUUCAUACUCCCUCCGUUCCAUAAUAUAGUGCUUAUAGAUUUUUGCACAAGUCAAACAUUCCAAACUUUAACCAUAUUUAUAGAGAAAAGUAGGUACAUCUAGAAUAUCAAAUGCACAUCAUUGGAUACAUCGUGAAUUAUAUUUUCAGAAUGUACAUGUUUGGUAUUGUAGAUGUAGAUAGUUUUCUCUAUAUACUUGGUCAAAGUUGAUAAAGUUUGACUUUUACAAAAAUCUAUAGGCACUACAUUGUAGAAUGGAGGGAGUAUAACCAUAGCGUUUGCUUUGAAUUCACACUGGAAAUUAGCCAAGCGAGCUCGUAAAUGUAGAUGAGAGUAUGUCUCGAUUUUUCUUUUCUUUUCCUUCAAUGAAUUAAUAAACACGCGUAUAGCACGUCAUAUGGAUCUCUGGCAGCUACAUGGUCCGGCAGUUCCCGGGCUGUUCCUCGCAGACUACCAUGUGCGGCGCCUGGUACUGGUGGUGGUAGUAGCUGGGCGGGUAGUAGCACGGCGGCGGGUUCACGGGCACGGGCACGGCCGGCUUCGGGUCAUCCUUCUUCUUUUCAUCCGGCUUCUUCACCUCCUCCACCUUGAUGAUUUGGGCGUGUCCGAGCUUCUUGCGGAGGCAGCUGACGAGGCACACCGGGUCGACGCCGUCGCCGACCACCUCCAGCUGGUCCCUCGCGUCGCCGGUUAUGCCCAUGGACGUCACCCCGGCUGCUCUGGCGGCCAGCGUUAGUGCUUUGGACCGGCUCUUGUCGCACGACAUGCUCAAUUGGAUGACAAUCUUUUGCUGCAACAAGGAGAAAAGCCAUGGAUCAAUCUUCAGAGUAAUGUAUCGACUGCUGAAAAUUAAGACCCUAGACAAGGCAACAGGAGAGGUAAACAAAAAAUAGGAGCAGAAACUGAAUAGGGUUCCUUACCUUCAUUGCCUGCUUCUGGGUUGCUAGAAGCCUGUGAAGGAGAAGCAGGAACUCGAUGGCGAAUUGUUGGUGUUCGAGGCGAGGCUAGAAUGGUUUGGGUAGCUACUGAUCGAUUUUCCACAGAUGCAAGUGUCUUGCUUGUGAUGAUUUGGUGAAGGGGAUACCCCCCUUAUAUACACGCUAGAAAACUAGAGCUAUCAGUAUCAGGAGCAAUCCCAACGCACUAGCUCGCUAGUAGUAAGAAGAUUCGUAGCAGCUGCCGCAGUUGAGCUCCGACUGAGUAAACAACUGCCCAACUGGGCAAGUAGACAUGCAUGUAAACGCGUCCUCACCACAAAGGACUCGGCAGGCUACCCAUGGAGAGACAGUAGACAAUGACUUGUGACGAGAUCUGCCCAACUUUAUCAUCAGUUGGCCAUGUUGGAUGCUCCACUGAAGACGCGGCUGCGUACAUAAAUACGCAGACUGAAACGGGACAAAAAUGGCAUGGAUACACUAGCAGCUCAAGUUCAACCGAUCAUCGGUCCUCCAUCAGCUCAAUCAACAAUAAUUUUGUCUAGGAACACGCGGGAGGAGAGAGGGAUCACAAGGUCACACCCAACUUUUGCACAAUUGCACGCAAUUAAUAAGCUAUUCUUCACUAGUAUAGAGAACUAGGCUGUAGCCUAGUGGCAAGGGAGCGCAGUGGCAUCUCUAGCAACCAGGGUUCGAGCCAUAUCGGGGACGAAUUUCUGGUUUCUUACAAGGGAUGCUUCUCCUAUAUCAAUAAACCAUGGGUGCUAGUGCCCAUGAGUUUCAUCUUCUUUUUUUAAUUCUUCACUAGUAUAUGAUUGCAUAAUACAUGAUAAGUUGGUAUUUCAGAAUAUUUCAUUUCUUAUCUUGUAGUAUAACACAUAGGAACACAUUUUUUGUGUCCAACUGGGUUUGCUACCUAUGUAGACCGCACAUGCAUGAGCAGUUUUAACACGAUUCCUUUUACCUCUUCUUACCUCAUGAAAGGUAAGAAUAUAUAAUAAAUAUGAACCAUUGAUUUAAUUAAGUAGUGAGAACGAGUAAUUAGCCCGUGUUAAUUAAUUGUUCAAGCCCCUCACCGUCUCCCAGUUGCGCACUUAGGGCAUCUCCAAGGCGGACCUGCAAACCGAUCGCAUCCGUUCGGACCGCCGGAGCCAUCCAACGUGAUCCGCGGUGCGGUCAGGACACGAUUUCUUCCGCAAACCAGAGACAAAAGUGGGGGAAGUUUGCGUGAGUCCGGACACUCAAAAUGUACGAAUCCGACACCCCGGGCCCACCCAAAAGCCUUCCCGAACCCCGCGACUCCAUCCUCCUCAUUUUCUCUCCUUCCUUCUUUCUCUCUUGCGUUCGUUGCCGCUCCACCACCCCAGCCACCAUGCCACACCCCUGCCGGAACUCUGCGUCUCCUUCACUUCCGGCGCUCCAGCAGGGCUCUCCACCACUUCUACUCUGCCUCUGUUCAACCCAUGUCCUCUGACCGGUACCAUCCUCCACAUGACCGGCAACUGUUCGAUGAAUCGCUGGAGCUGAAAACAUUUAUCCUUUCUUAUUUCUAGCAAUGGAUUCUGAUUUGGAGUACAUAUACGAGCAGUAUGUUGAGUUGUCCGACGGCUCAUCGAACGAGGAGGAGUACUCCGAUGAGAUGGCGAUGAUGCAGACUGUCCUUGAAGACGCGGAGCGUGCGUAGGAGCAUGUUCUCAAUUCAAGGACUCAAUCAAAGAUCAUCGAGUGCUCAAGCGCAACAAGGCGUGCGGACAUUUGAUACUGAUGUCCGACUAUUUUGCCCCCGAUGAACUAUUCACUGACCAUUUUCGUCGGCACUUUCGGAUGUGCAAGAUUGUCUUUGAUUGUUUGUACCAUGGCUUCUGGUCCUACAAUGACUACUUCAUACUGAAGAAGGAUGUCAUGGGAACAAUUGGCUUCUCUGGUCACCAGAAGUGCACGGCCGCACUCCGGAUGCUUGCAUAUGGCAUGGCUACUGAUUCGUGGGACGAGUACCUACGGAUGUCUAAGAGCACAUGCGGAGAUGCCAUGGUCAGUUUUGCAACUGUCGUGGUCGAGAUGUUCGAAUCUCGAUACCUGAGAGAACUAACUGUGGCUGACACCGAGAGGCUCUUGGCAAUCUCAGAAGCAAGGGGGUGAUCAGGUUUGCUUAGAUCUCUUGACUGCAUGCGUUGGAAAUGGAAGAAUUACCCGAAGGCUUUACAAGGGCAAUAUGAGGAUCAUGUUAAGAAGCCCACCAUCAUUCUUGAAGCAGCUACAUCACAUGAUCUUUGGAUUUGGCACGCUUUGUUUGGCAUGCCCGAGUCUCACAGUGACAUCAAUGUGCUGCAACGAUCGUCGUUGUUUGCGAGGAUGACUGAAGGAAAAGCUCCUCCUUGCCACUAUACUAUCAAUGGACAUGAGUACGACAUGGGUUACUAUCUGUUUGACGGUAUCUAUCCUCCAUCGGCUACCUUUCUCAGCACCACCUCAAACCCAGUUGGUCGGAAAAAGGCUCACUUUACCCAAAGACAAGGAGCAGCUAGAAAGGAUGUUGAGAGGGCAUUUGGAGUUCUUUAGGCUUGUUUCGCAGUUGUUUGUGGACCUGCAAAACAAUGGGAUCCGGAGACCUUGUGGGAGGUGAUGACAUGUUGUGUGGUCAUGCACACAUGAUCGUCGAGGAUGAGGGUGACGAUGCUACUGAAGCUCUAGAAUUUGAGAAAAUGGGUGAUCCUAUCCAAAUUCUGGACUAGAAUCUAGCCACAUUUGAAGAGUUUAUUCAAAUGCAUCAGCAAAUUCAGCAUCAACCAACUCAUGGGCAGCUGAAGGAAGAUCUGAUUGACCAUCAGUGGGCCGUGAAAGGGGACAACAAUGUUGGGAUGUAAUACUUGAACAUUUUUAAAUUUAAACUAGUGAUGCAUUGAGAGGAUCGAGAAGUGGUGUCUAGAGGGGGGGGUUAGACACUAAGUGCUAAAAGUAGCAGUUUUUAGUUUCUCUAAGUUUAAGUGGAGUUUAGGCACAAAUUUAACAAACACAAUACAUAUCAAGCAAGCAUGCAAAGAGUAUAUGAGCAGCGGAAAGUAAAGCAUGCAACUUGCAAGAAUGUAAAGGGAAGGGUUUGGAGUGUUCAAACGCAAUUUGGAGACAUGGUGAUUUUUGAGCCGUGGUUCCGAUAGGUGGUGCUAUCGUACAUCCACGUUGAUGGAGACUUCAACCCACGAAGGGUAACGGCUGCGCGAGUCCAUGGAGGGCUCCAUCCAAGAAGGGUCCAUGAAGAAGCAACCUUGUCUAUCCCACCAUGGCCGUCGCCCACGAAGGACUUGCCUCACUAGCGGUAGAUCUUCAUGAAGUAGGCGAUCUCCUUGCCCUUACAAACUCCUUGGUUCAACACCACAAUCUUGUCGGAGGCUCCCAAGUGACACCUAGCCAAUCUAGGAGACACCACUCUCCAAGAAGUAACAAAUGGUGUGUUGAUGAUGAACUCCUUGCUCUUGUGCUUCAAAUGAUAGUCUCCCCAACACUCAACUCUCUCUCUCACAGGAUUUGGAUUUGGUGGAAAGAAGAUUUGAGUGGAAAGCAACUUGGGGAAGGCUAGAGAUCAAGAUUCAUAUGGUAGGAAUGGAAUAUCUUGGUCUCAACACAUGAGUAGGUACUUCUCUCUCAGAAAUGGUAUGUUGGAAGUGUAGGUUUGUUCCGAUGGCUCUCUCCACGAAUGAAGAGGAGGUGGAGGGGUAUAUAUAGCCUCCACACAAAAUCUAACCGUUACACACAAUUUACCAAUCUCGGUGGGUCCGAAUUGAGAAACUCGGUCUGACCAAUUCAGUAAAUAAUGUGACCGUUAGGGUUUUUGGUGGGACCGACAUGCAACUCGGUAGGACCGAUAUGGUUAGGGUUAGGGCAUAACGUAAUCUCGGUAAGACCGAUUACACAAACUCGGUGGAACCGAUUUUGGUAAUAAGCUAACCAUAGAGUUGGUCAGGUAAACUUGGUGUGACCGAUUCUCUCAUCUCGGUGGGACCAAAAUGUUACAAAAAGGAAACAGAGAGUUUACAUUGUAAUGUCGGUAGGACCGAUUACACAAACUCGGUGGGACCGAUUUUGGUAAUUGACAUACACAGAGAGAUUACAAUCCCAUCUCGGUGAGACCGAGAUCCCUAUCGGUGAGACCGAUUUGCCUAGGGUUUGUGGCAGUGGCAAUGACAUUUGAACUCGGUGGCGCCGGAUAGAAAGAAUCGGUGGGGCCGAGUUGGACUUUAGGUUUAGGUCAUAUGUGGAUGUGGGAAAGCAGUUGGGGUUUUUGGAGCAUAUCACUAAGAACUAUGAAGCAAGAACCUCAUUAAGCAACACCUCAUCCCUCCUUGAUAGUAUUGGCUUUUCCUAUAGACUCAAUGUGAUCUUGGAUCACUAAAAUAUAAAAUGUAGAGUCUUGAGCUUGAAGCUUGAGCCAAUCCUUUUAUCUUUAGCAUCUUGAAGGGGUUCCUCAUCCUUUAGUGCAUGCCACUUCAUUGUUGAACUUAUCUGAAAACAUACUAGGUAAAAGUGUUAGUCCAACAAUAGAUAUGUUGUCAUUAAUUACCAAAAUCACCCAGGGAGCACUUGUGCUUUCAAUCUCCCCUUUUUUGGUAAUUGAUGACAACAUACAUCAAAGCUUUAGAUAGAGGAUAUAAAGAAUAACAAGUAAAGCUUUGGAAAGACAUGUAACAAGCAUAGGCUCCCCCUACAUGUAUGCAAGCAUGUGAAUAUGGUAUAUAGGAGCAUGUGAAUGCAUAAGCAUGACAGAGUAGGCAAUGUGUUACAUGUAUCUUGGCUAUAUGCAUCAGAGCGAAGAAUUUUGGGAAAUGUACCUUCAUGCUCAUGAGUCCUUCUUGCAAACAGUAUGUACAUCAGCAAGAAUUCCUCAUACACGACUGUGAUGCAUAUACUCACCUUGUGGUCUUGAGUUGGCUUAGGGUGAAAUGAACCUGCGAAAAAGAGGUUAGAUAACACAGAUGCAUCUACUAGCCAGAGCAAACAAGAAGAAACCACGAUAAUACCAAGACCGUGAUGACAUGUAGAGAGUGAGUACCAGGUACCACAUUGGAUUAGACAUGUCCCCAAAGGUAAAGGUAUACAAUGAAUUUAAAGAUUUCCUUUCCCUUAUGUAUUGCUCCCCCCGAAUCUAGCAUGGGAUACAGGGAGACGAUAGGGAACAGAAAAUCAGAGCUCAAGGAAGUAAAUGAACAGAGCUAAUGCACGUAUGAACAUGUCUUUCCCCUCUAGAAGACAUGUAACAUCUCUCCUCUUGAACACCAAGCAUUUGGGAUCAUUGAAGAUUACCCUCCCCUUGAGUAUUCUCUCCCCCUAGAGAUAUGAACUCUCUCUAGAGAAAGUUUUGAUGUGAUCUCUCUCUCUCCCCCUUUGACAUCAAUUUCCUAGAAGGGGCUUCUGGAUUUGUUGUCACAUGGGUUUUGUCCUUGAGUCACAUGUCAAAGCAGCAAAAAGAAAAAAAUGUGAUGCUGGUAGAGGACAAGAUUCAUUGAGUGGAUCUAGAUCAAAAGAAUCACAGAAAUAAGUGGCAAGCUAUUUUUCUCUGUCGUAUUCUUCGGUAGCACCGAAAUGUUUCGGUGGGACCGAAAAUAAUAGGCCGGUGUGACCGAGUUCAUGACAGAGAAAACAUUUGUCACCGCUGCUCACUUAGACAAGUAAGAUCUCACAAGGAUUUGCAAUGAAGUGGAUGCAGGGAAUGCAAAACAGACAGUAAACGAGAAGAAACUUAACAGAAAUAUAGAUGAAGAAGUUUUUUUUGAAAGGGGAAACAAAUAUGCAUGAUACAAAUGCAAGAGCACAGAAAAGAACACGAGAGAACUUCAUCUAGAAUUGGUCGGCGACAAAGUCACCUAUGUUAGAGUAUAUUGACUUAGGAGUCAAGUGAGAUCACUUGAUCAUAGGUCAUACUCAUCAUCUAAGCUCAAAACGGGGUUACCAUUUUUCGUUUAAGCAUCUUGAUGUAUUCACAUCUUGCCGAGUUGCUUUGACUCAUGUCUUGGAGUAAAGCUUCUCUAAGAUGGAAUAAUAUACCUUGGGUGGUGGGUUUGAUCGUGAUCAUGUAGUUGAACUUGUGUGGGUUGCUCAAGGUUGAUGUAGCUCAUCAAGAGUUGGGAGCACCACUUGAAAUUUGAGUCCAUUCACCUACAUGGGUUAGUUUUAGCAAGGAGGAGCACUUGUGUAUCCAAAAUGACAAACAUGAAACUAAAUAAUAAAUUUGUCAAAGGAUAUGCUUGAAUGGAUUUUUGCUUCCUCGUUUUCAACCACCCUUAUGUAGAGACUUGGUGAUGUAGAGAUUGCUCAAGAUGUGAGUGAGUUACAAUCCCAUAGAUUUAGAUCCAUCCAAGUUCCUACAAGGGUUAGAUGACAUGCAAGAUGCAAAUAUAUCCAAGAUGUAAGAUUAUCAUCAUAAGACAAAUAUCAAGGAUUAAUCAUAGGCUCAUGUCUUGCAUGUAUCAAGUGGAGAUUCUACUCCAAGUUUGAAGCAUCAAUGAUGUUCAAUUCACCUCUCAACCUGUAAAACACUUUCUCAUCAAGAGGUUUAGUGAAAAUAUCCGCUAAUUUUUUCGGUGCGAACAUGCUUAAGAUUAAUGUCCCCUUUGGCAACAUGAUCUUGAAUGAAAUGAUGACGAACUUCAAUAUGCUUAGUUCGAGAAUGUUGCAUGGGAUUGUGAGCAAUCUUGAUAGCACUUUCAUUGUCGCAGAGUAAUGGAACAUGUUUCACAUAUAUCCCAUAAUCUUUAAGAGUUUGGGUCAUCCAAAGAAAUUGAGCACAACAUGAACCAGCGGCAAUGUAUCCCGCUUCGGCAGUGGAUAAGGAUACUGAGUUUUGUUUCUUGGAAGACCAAGACACAAGAGAUCUACCAAGGAAUUGACAAGUACCCGAAGUGGACUUUCUAUCAACCUUGUCACCGGCAUAGUCCGAGUCGGAGUAGCCAACAAAAUUGAAAGAGGCCCUCUUAGGAUACCAAAUACCAAAAUUUGGUGUAUGAAUUAAAUAUCUCACUAUCCUUUUCAUGGCCUUAAGAUGACAUUCUUUCGGUGCAGCUUGAUAUCGUGCACACAUGCACACACUUAGCAUAAUAUCGAGACGUGAAGCACAUAGGUAUAACAAUGAACCAAUAAUAGAGCGAUAAACCUUUUGAUCAACCGGUUCACCAUCUUUGGUCAAAUCAAGAUGUCCACUAGUAGGCAUGGGUGUAGACAUACCUUUGCAUUCUUGCAUAUUGAACUUCUUGAAUAAGUCUUUGGUGUACUUCGUUUGAGAGACAAAAGUACCUUCCUUAGUUUGCUUGAUUUGUAACCCAAGAAAGAAUUUGAGUUCACUCAUCAUUGACAUCUCAAACUUCUCUGACAUUUGCUUUUCGAACUUAUCACUAAAAUGAGGGUUAGUUGAUCCAAAUAUAAUGUCAUUGACAUAAAUUUGGCAUACAAAUAAUUCUCCAUUAACCCUUUUAGUAAAAAGUGUAGAAUCAAUUUUUCCAAUUUCAAAGCCUUUCUCAAUAAGGAACCUUGUUAAGCAUUUAUACCAAGCUCUAGGAGCUUGUUUAAGACCAUAAAGAGCUUUGCGAAGUUUGUAAACAUGAUUAGGUUUCUUAGGAUUGAUAAAGCCGGGAGGUUAUUUAACAUAAACUUCCUCCUCUAUUUCACCAUUUAGAAAAGCACUUUUGAUGUCCAUUUGGUACACGGUGAUAUCAUGGUAAUUAGCAUAGGCAAGUAAUAUGCGAAUGGAUUCAAGUCUAGCAACGGGAGCAUAAGUCUCACCAUAGUCCAUACCUUCGACUUGUGUGUAGCCUUGGGCGACGAGACGUGCUUUGUUGCGAACUACUUGUCCAUCUUCAUCUUGCUUGUUGCGAAACACCCAUUUGGUACCGAUGAUGUUGUGGUUGUUGUCGGGCUUCUCAACCAAUGUCCAAACUUGAUUUCUCUCAAAGUUGUGUAGCUCCUCAUGCAUAGCAUUUAUCCAAUCCGGAUCUUCCAAUGCUUCUUCAACCUUCAUAGAUUCAAUGCUAGAGAUGAAUGAAUAGUGUUCACAAAAGUUAGCUAAACGAGUUUUAGAGCGAGUGAUUCUCCCGGUUUGGAUAUCAUUGUAGAUUUGCUCGACGGGAUGGUCUUUAGCAAUUCUUGCUCGAACUCAUGAAGGCUUUUGCUUGGGUCUUGGUUGAACAUCUUCUUCAUCUUGUUCUUCUCCUUCUUGUUCUUCUUCUUCUUGGCCUUCUUCAUUGUUGGCGUUGGCGUUCUCUUGUCGUGGUGGAGAAGGAGGUUGUUGACGUUCUUGGUGUACUUCCUCAUUUUCUUCAUCUUGGUGUCUCCCACUUGUGGAUGCUUCCGUAUCAACUCUUGGUUCNNNNNNNNNNNNNNNNNNNNNNNNNNNNNNNNNNNNNNNNNNNNNNNNNNNNNNNNNNNNNNNNNNNNNNNNNNNNNNNNNNNNNNNNNNNNNNNNNNNNNNNNNNNNNNNNNNNNNNNNNNNNNNNNNNNNNNNNNNNNNNNNNNNNNNNNNNNNNNNNNNNNNNNNNNNNNNNNNNNNNNNNNNNNNNNNNNNNNNNNNNNNNNNNNNNNNNNNNNNNNNNNNNNNNNNNNNNNNNNNNNNNNNNNNNNNNNNNNNNNNNNNNNNNNNNNNNNNNNNNNNNNNNNNNNNNNNNNNNNNNNNNNNNNNNNNNNNNNNNNNNNNNNNNNNNNNAGAUAAGUCUUGGAUUGCUUCCGAGGGGUCUUUGUAUCCUACAUCAAUUGGCAAUUGCUCUACUUGUGAGCCGUUAGAUUCAUCAGACUUCACAUCUACCGUUUCUUCAACCUUCUGGGUGAAAUUUUUGUAGACACAGUAAGUGUGAGAGUUUGAGGCCGUAACCAAGUAGGAAACCUUCAUGAGACUUAGGAGCAAAUUUAGAGCGAUGAUGUUUAUCAAGAAUGUAGCACUUUGAGCCAAAUACUCGAAAGUAUCCAACUUGGGGUUUGUUAUUGGUGAGGAGCUCGUAUGUUGUCUUGCCGAUUAGCUUGUGAAGAUACAAGCGAUUUGUUGCAUGACAAGCUGUCUCAACUGCUUCUGCCCAAAAGUGCUUCGGCGUCUUGUGCUCAUCAAGCAUCGUUCUUGCCAUUUCGAUGAGUGUCCGGUUCUUCCUCUCAACAACUCCAUUUUGUCGAGGUGUGUACGUAGCUGAGAACUCAUGUGAAAUCCCUUCUACGUCAAGGAAGGUGUCCACAUUUGCGUUCUUGAACUCCGUUCCGUUGUUGCUGCGAACCUUCUUGAUGUUCACUUCAAAUUGAUUUUGGGCCUUCCUAGCGAAGUUUUUGAAGAUCUUUUGGACCUGCGAUUUGUCAUCGAGAAAGAACACCCACGUAAAUCUUGAAAAAUCAUCAACUAUAACUAGACCAAAAGAAUUUCCACCGAGACUUUUGUAAGCGUUGGGACCGAACAGACCCAUGUGAAGUAGCUCAAGUGGCCUCCUUGUGGUCAUGAUGUUCUUCACGGGAUGCCUUCCUCCAACCUGUUUACCAGCUUGACAUGCACUGCAAAGUCUAUCCUUAUCAAAUAUGACAUCGUUAACACCAAGGAUAUGAUUUCCUUUAAUAAGCUUGUCAAGAUUUCGCAUGCCAACAUGACCUAAUCGUCUAUGCCAUAACCAACCUUUUGAAGAUUUAGCAAUAAAGCAAGUUCUAGGUUGAGAAUUUUUAGUGAAAUCAACAAUGUAAAGAUCACCUCUACGUAUACCGGUAAAGACCAUUUUAUGAUUGUCUCUACGAAACAUUUGGCAAUCUACUUUAGUAAAUAGGACAUUGAAACCGAAAUCAGCAAGUCUAGAUACUGAAAGUAAGUUGUAUCCAAGAGAUUCGACGAGCAUAAUAUUUUGAAUGGGGCUAUCAUGUGAGAUGGCCACCUUACCGAGGCCAACCACCUUACCCUUUGAGAUGUCAGCGAAAGUGACAUACUUUCGAGGACCAUCAUUUUCGGCAAGCUCAAGAAACAUGUCUGUAUCUCCGGUCAUGUGAUCGGUACAUCCACUGUCAAGAACCCAUUCCUUUCUUCCUGCCAUAUAUCCCCGAAGAUUUGCCAUAAGGCCAAAGUGUCUCAUUGCAUCAUCAAGAUCAAAGUCAUCAUCAUCAUCCUCAUCAUAGUAUCCAUGUUCAACAUCGUCAUGCGGUGGAUCAAUUCCUAGUGAGGGUGAUUCGUUAGUAUGAGUUUGACAAUGAUCUCCUUUAUGAAGUCUAGUAGCUUCAGAAAUAAUAUCGCUAAUAAUUCCAACAUUUCCAUUGGCACGCAUAAGAUUUGUAAGCUCUAAUAGACGAUCACCAAAUAUGGAAUCAUUGGAAUUCAUCUUGCUCAAGGCAAUAGACUUAUGAAGAAUUUCGUCUAGAUUUUUCAAUGAAUAAUUAGGAAAUCGUUCCUCAAGAAAUUUCCAUAUAGUGUAGGCACACUCAAGAGUAGGCAAGUUUCCAAUCAAGUUUCUAGGAAAGCCUCUGGUGAUAAGAUUAACAGUUCUAACAUUCCUAAUCAUGUCAAUUGACUCAUCAAGGGUAGGAUGCAUGGGAUCAACAUGAGGUGCACAAGGGCUAGCAAUGUACUUGUUCAAAUGAUAUUGAUUGAAAAUCACAAGCAUCUCAUUUUUCGACUCAUGAAAAUACUCUUCAUCAAGUAUAGGCACUCUAUGUCUAAGACUCCCCAAAGUAGACUCAUCCAUCUUCCUUCAAUGGUGAUUAAACCAAAGAAAUGGAGACCAAGGCUCUGAUACCAAUUGACAGGAUCGAGAAGAGGUGUCUAGAGGGGGGUGAAUAGACACUAAGUGCUAAAAGUAGCAGUUUUUAGUUUCUCUAAGUUUAAGUGGAGUUUAGGCACAAGUUUAACAAACACAAUACAUAUCAAGCAAGCAUGCAAAGAGUAUAUGAGCAGCGGAAAGUAAAGCAUGCAACUUGCAAGAAUGUAAAGGGGAGGCUUUGGAGUGUUCAAACGCAAUUUGGAGACAUGGUGAUUUUUGAGCCGUGGUUCCGAUAGGUGGUGCUAUCGUACAUCCAUGUUGAUGGAGACUUCAACCCACGAAGGGUAACGACUGCGUGAGUCCAUGGAGGGCUCCACCCAACAAGGGUCCACGAAGAAGCAACCUUGUCUAUCCCACCAUGGUCGUCGCCCACGAAGGACUUGCCUCACUAGCGGUAGAUCUUCAUGAAGUAGGCAAUCUCCUUGCCCUUACAAACUCCUUGGUUCAACUCCACAAUCUUGUUGGAGGCUCCCAAGUGACACCUAGCCAAUCUAGGAGACACCACUCUCCAAGAAGUAACAAAUGGUGUGUUGAUGAUGAACUCCUUGCUCUUGUGCUUCAAAUGAUAGAGAUCAAGAUUCAUAUGGUAGGAACGGAAUAUCUUGGUCUCAAGACAUGAGUAGGUACUUCUCUCUCAGAAAUGGUUAGUUGGAAGUGUAGGUUUGUUCUGAUGGCUCUCUCCACGAAUGAAGAGGAGGUGGAGGGGUAUAUAUAGCCUCCACACAAAAUCUAACCGUUACACACAAUUUACCAAUCUCGGUGGGAUCGAAUUGAGAAACUCGGUCUGACCGAUUCAGUAAAUAAUGUGACCGUUAGGGUUUUCGGUGGGACCGACAUGCAACUCGGUAGGACCGAUAUGGUUAGGGUUAGGGCAUAACAUAAUCUCGGUAAGACCCAUUACACAAACUCGGUGGGACCGAUUUUGGUAAUAAGCUAACCAGAGAGUUGGUCAGGUAAACUCGGUGUGACCGAUUCUCUCAUCUCGGUGGGACUGAAAUGUUACGAAAAGGAAACAGAGAGUUUACAUUGUAAUCUCGGUAGGACCGAUUACACAAACUCGGUGGGACCGAUUUUGGUAAUGGACAUACACAGAGAGAUUACAAUCCAAUCUCCGUGAGACCGAGAUCCCUAUCGGUGAGACCGAUUUGCCUACGGUUUGUGGCAGUGGCUAUGACAUUUGAACUCGAUGGCGCCGGAUAGAAAGAAUCGGUGGGGCCGAGUUGGACUUUAGGUUUAGGUCAUAUGUGGAUGUGGGAAAGCAUUUGAGGGUUUUGGAGCAUAUCACUAAGCACUAUGAAGCAAGAACCUCAUUAAGCAACACCUCAUCCCUCCUUGAUAGUAUUGGCUUUUCCUAUAGACUCAAUCUGAUCUUGGAUCACUAAAAUAUAAAAUGUAGAGUCUUGAGCUUGAAGCUUGAGCCAAUCCUUUUAUCCUUAGCAUCUUGAAGGGGUUCCUCAUCCUUUAGUCCAUGCCACUUCAUUGUUGAACUUAUCUGAAAACAUACUAGGUAAAAGUGUUAGUCCAACAAGAGAUAUGUUGUCAUUAAUUACCAAAAUCACCUAGGGAGCACUUGUGUUUUCAAUCUCCCCCUUUUUGGUAAUUUAUGACAACAUACAUCAAAGCUUUAGAUAGAGGAUAUAAAGAAUAACAAGUAAAGCUUUGGAAAGACAUGUAACUAGCAUAGGCUCCCCCUACAUGUAUGCAAGCAUGUGAAUAUGGUAUAUAGGAGCAUGUGAAUGCAUAAGCAUGACGGAGUAGGCAAUGUGUUACAUGUAUCUUGGCUAUAUGCAUCAGAGCGAAGAAUUUUGGGAAAUGUACCUUCAUGGUCAUGAGUCCUUCUUGCAAACAGUAUGUACAUCAGCAAGAAUUCCUCAUACACAUGACUGUGAUGCAUAUACUCACCUUGUGGUCUUGAGUUGGCUUAGGGUGAAAUGAACCUGUGAAAAAGAGGUUAGAUAACACAGAUGCAUCUACUAGCCAGAGCAAACAAGAAGAAACUACGAGAAUACCAAGACGGGGAUGACAUGUAGAGAGUGAGUACCAGGUACCACAUUGGAUUAGACAUGUCCCCAAAGGUAAAGGUAUACAGUGAAUUUAAAGAUUUCCUUUCCCUUAUGUAUUGCUCCCCCUGAAUCUAGCAUGGGAUACUGGGAGAAAAUAGGGAACAGAAAAUCAGAGCUCAAGGAAGUAAAUGAACAGAGCUAAUGCACGUAUGAACAUGUCUUUCCCCUCUAGAAGACAUGUAACAUCUCUCCUCUUGAACACCAAGCAUCUGGGAUCAUUGAAGAUUACCCUCCCCUUGAGUAUUCUCUCCCCCUAGAGAUAUGAACUCUCUCUAGAUAAAGUUUUAAUGUGAUCUCUCUCUCCCCCUUUGACAUCAAUUUCCAAGAAGGGGCUUCUGGAUUUGUUGUCACAUGGGUUUUGUCCUUGAGUCAUAGGUCAAAGCAGCAAAAAGGAAAAAAUAUGAUGCAGCUAGAGGACAAGAUUCAUUGAGUGGAGCUCGAUCAAAAGAAUCACACAAAUAAGUGGCAAGUUGUUUUUCUCUGUAGUGAGAUCGGUGGCACCGAGUUGUAUUCUUCGGUAGCACCGAAAGGUUUCGGUGGGACCGAAAAUAAUAGGCCGGUGUGACCGAGUUCAUGAUAGAGAAAACAUUUGUCACCUCUGCUCACUUAGACAAGUAAGAUCUCACAAGGAUUUGCAAUGAAUUGGAUGCAGGGAAUGCAAAACAGACAGUAAACAAGAAGAAACUUAAAAGAAAUAUAGAUGAAGAAGUUUUUUUGAAAGGGGAAACAAAUAUGCGUGAUACAAAUGCAAGAGCACAGAAAAGAACAUGAGAGAACUUCAUCUAGAAUUGGUCGGCGACAAAGUAACCUAUGUUAGAGUAUAUUGACUUAGGAGUCAAGUGAGAUCACUUGAUCAUAGGUCAUACUCAUCGUUUAAGCUCAAAAUGGGGUUACCAUUUUUUGUUUAAACAUCUUGAUGUAUUCACAUCUUGUCGAGUUGCUUUGACUCAUGUCUUGGAGUAAAGCUUCUCUAAGAUGGAAUAACAUACCUUGGGUGGUGGGUUUGAUCGUGAUCAUGUAGUUGAACUUGUGUGGGUUGCUCAAGGUUGAUGUAGCUCAUCAAGAGUUGGGAGCACCACUUGAAAUUUGAGUCCAUUCACCUACAUGGGUUAGUUUUUGCAAGGAGGAGCACUUGUGUAUCCAAAAUGACAAACAUGAAACUAAAUAAUGAAUUUGUCAAAGGAUAUGCUUGAAUGGAUUUUUGGUUCCUCGUUUUCAACCACCCUUAUGUAGAGACUUGGUGAUGUAGAGAUUGCUCAAGAUGUGAGUGAGUUGCAAUCCCAUAGAUUUAGAUCCAUCCAAGUUCCUACAAGGGUUAGAUGACAUGCAAGAUGCAAAUAUAUCCAAGAUGUAAUAUUAUCAUCAUAAGAGAAAUAUCAAUCAUUAAUCAUAGGCUCAUGUCUUGCAUGUAUCAAGUGGAGUUUCUACUCCAAGUUUGAAGCAUCAAUGAUGUUCAAUUCACCUCUCAAACUGCAAAACACUUUAUCAUCAAGAGGUUUAGUGAAAAUAUCCGCUAAUUGUUUUCGGUGCGAACAUGCUUAAGAUUAAUGUCCCCUUUGGCAACAUGAUCUCGAAUGAAAUGAUGACGAACUUCAAUAUGCUUAGUUCGCGAAUGUUGCACGGGAUUGUGAGCAAUCUUGAUAGAACUUUCAUUGUCGCAGAGUAAUGGAACAUGUUUCACAUAUAUCCCAUAAUCUUUAAGAGUUUGGGUCAUCCAAAGAAAUUGAGCACAACAUGAAUCAGCGGCAAUGUCUUCCGCUUCGGCGGUGGAUAAGGAUACCGAGUUUUGUUUCUUGGAAGACCAAGACACAAGAGAUCUACCAAGGAAUUGACAAGUACCGAAGUGGACUUUCUAUCAACCUUGUCACCGGCAUCGUCCGAGUCGGAGUAGCCAACAAGAUUGAAAGAGGCCCUCUUAGGAUACCAAAUACCAAAAUUUUGUGUAUGAAUUAAAUAUCUCACUAUCCUUUUCACGGCCUUAAGGUGACAUUCUUUCGGUGCAGCUUGAUAUCGUGCACACAUGCACACACUUAGCAUAAUAUCGGGACGUGAAGCACAUAGGUAUAACAAUGAACCAAUCAUAGAGCGAUAAACCUUUUGAUCAAUCGGUUCACCAUCUUUUGUUAAAUCAAGAUGUCCACUAGUAGGCAUGGGUGUAGACAUACCUUUUGCAUUCUUGCAUAUUGAACUUAUUGAAUAAGUCUUUGGUGUACUUCGUUUGAGAGACAAAAGUACCUUCCUUAGUUUGCUUGAUUUGCAACCCAAGAAAGAAUUUGAGUUCACUCAUCAUUGACAUCUCAAACUUCUCCGACAUUAGCUUUCCAAACUUCUCACUAAAAUGAGGGUUAGUUUAUCCAAAUAUAAUGUCAUCAACAUAAAUUUGGCAUACAAAAAAUUCUCCAUUAACCCUUUUAGUAAAAAGUGUAGAAUCAAUGUUUCCAAUUUCAAAGCCUUUUUCUAUAAGUAACUUGGUUAAGCAUUUAUACCAAGCUCUAGGAGCUUGUUUAAGACCAUAAAGAGCUUUGCGAAGUUUGUAAACAUGAUUAGGUUUCUUAGGAUUGAUAAAGCUGGGAGGUAGUUUAACAUAAACUUCCUCCUCUAUUUCACCAUUUAGAAAAGCACUUUUGAUGUCCAUUUGGUACAAGGUGAUAUUAUGGUGAUUAGCAUAGGCAAGUACUAUACGAAUGGAUUCAAGUCUAGCAGUGGGAGCAUAAGUCUCACCAUAGUCCAUACCUUCUACUUGUGUGUAGCCUUGGGCGACGAGACGUGCUUUGUUGCGAACUACUUGUCCAUCUUCAUCUUGCUUAUUGCGAAACACCCAUUUGGUACCGAUGCUGUUGUGGUUGUUAUCGAGCUUCUCAACCAAUGUCCAAACUUGAUUUCUCUCAAAGUUGUGUAGCUCCUCAUGCAUAGCAUUUAUCCAAUCCGGAUCUUCCAAUGCUUCUUCAACCUUCAUAGGUUCAAUGCUAGAGAUGAAUGAAUAUUGUUCACAAAAGUUAGCUAAACGAGUUUUAGAGCGAGUGAUUCUCCCGGUUUGGAUAUCAUUGUAGAUUUGCUCGACGGGAUGGUCUUUAGAAAUUCUUGCUCGAACUCGUGAAAGCUUUUGCUUGGGUCUUGGUUGAACAUCUUCUUCAUCUUGUUCUUCUUCUUCUUUGCCUUCUUCAUUGUUGGCGUUGUCGUUCUCUUGUCGUGGUGGAGAAGGAGGUUGUUGGCGUUCUUGGUGUACUUUCUCGUUUUCUUCAUCUUGGUGUCUCCCACUUGUGGAUGCUUCCGUAUCAACUCUUGGUUCACCUUGUCGUGAGGUAGAAGCUUCCACUUGGACAGACGAGUUACUCUCCUUCACCUCCAUUGGCGAAUCUUGCCAAUAGAUAAGUCUUGGAUUGCUUCCGAGGGGUCUUUGUUUCCUACAUCAAUUGGCAAUUGCUCUACUUGUGAUCCGUUAGAUCCAUCAAACUUCACAUCUACUGUUUCUUCAACCUUCCGGGUGAAAUUGUUGUAGACACGGUAAGUGUGAGAGUUUGAGCCGUAACCAAGUUGGAAACCUUCAUGAGACUUAGGAGCAAAUUUAGAGCAACGAUGCUUAUCAAGAAUGUAGCACUUUGAGCCAAAUACUCGAAAGUAUCCAACUUGGGGUUUGUUACCGGUGAGGAGCUCGUAUGCCGUCUUACCGAGUAGCUUGUGAAGAUACAAGUGAUUUGUUGCAUGACAAGCUGUCUCAACCGCUUCUGGCCAAAAGUGCUUUGGCGUCUUGUACUCAUCAAGCAUCGUUUUUUCCAUUUCGAUGAGCGUACGGUUCUUCCUCUCAACAACUUCAUUUUGUUGAGAUGUGUACGUAGCCGAGAACUCAUGUGAAAUCCCUUCUUCGUCAAGAAAGGUGUCCACAUUUGCAUUCUUGAACUCCGUUCCGUUGUCGCUGCGAACCUUCUUGAUCUUCACUUCAAAUUGAUUUUGGGCCUUCCUAGCGAAGUUUUUGAAGAUCUUUUGGAGAUGUGAUUUGUCAUCGAGAAAGAACACCCACGUAAAUCUUGAAAAAUCAUCAACUAUAACUAGACCAAAAUAAUUUCCACCGAGACUUUUGUAAGCGUUGGGACCGAAGAGAUCCAUGUGAAGUAGCUUAAGUGGCCUCCUUGUGGUCAUGAUGUUCUUCACGGAAUGCCUUCCUCCAACCUGUUUACCAGCUUGGCACGCACUGCAGAGUCUAUCCUUAUCAAAUAUGACAUCGUUAACACCAAGGAUAUGAUUUCCUUUAAUAAGCUUGUCAAGAUUUCGCAUGCCAACAUGACCUAAUCGUCUAUGCCAUAACCAACCUUUUGAAGAUUUAGCAAUAAAGCAAGUUCUAGGUUGAGCCUUUUUAGUGAAAUCAACAAUGUAAAGAUCACCUCUACGUAUACUGGUAAAGACCGUUUUAUGAUUGUCUCUACGAAACACUUGGCAAUCUACUUCAGUAUAUAGGACAUUGAAACCGAAAUCAGCAAGUCUAGAUACUGAAAGUAAGUUGUAGCCAAGAGAUUCGACGAGCAUAAUAUUUUGAAUGGGGCUAUCAUGUGAGAUGGCCACCUUACCGAGUCCAACCAUCUUACCCUUUGAGUUGUCACCAAAAGUGCCAUACUUUCGAGGACCGUCAUUUUUGGCAAGCUCACGAAACAUGUCUGUAUCUCCGGUCAUGUGAUCGGUACAUCCACUAUCAAGAACCCAUUCCUUUCCGCCUGCCAUAUAUCCCCGAAGAUUUGCCAUAAGACCAAAGUGUCUCAUUGCAUCAUCAAGAUCAAAGUCAUCAUCAUCAUCCUCAUCAUAGUAUCCAUGUUCAACAUCAUCAUGCGGUGGAUCAAUUCCUAGUGAGGGUGAUUCGUUAGUAUGAGUUUGACAAUGAUCUCCUUUAUGAAGUCUAGUAGCUUCGGAAAUAAUACCGCUAAUAAUUCCAACAUUGCCUUUGGCACGCAUAAGAUUUGUAAGCUCAAAUAGACAAUCACCAAACAUGGAAUCAUUGGAAUUCAUCUUGCUCAAGGCAAUAGACUUAUGAAGAAUUUCGUCUAGAUUUUUCAAUGAAUAAUUAGGAAAUCGUUCUUCGAGAAAUUUCCAUAUAGGGUAGGGACACUCAAGGGUAGGCAAGUUUCCAAUCAAGUUUCUAGGCAAGCCUCUGGUGAUAAGAUUAACAGUUCUAACAUUCCUAAUCAUGUCAACUGACUCAUCAAGGGUAGGAUGCAUGGGAUCAACAUGAGGUGCACAAGGGCUAGCAAUGUACUUGUUCAAAUGAUAUUGAUUGAAAAUCACAAGCAUCUCAUUUUUCCACUCAUGAAAGUACUCUUCAUCAAGUAUAGGCACUCUAUGUCUAAGACUCCCCAAAGUAGACUCAUCCAUGUUCCUCCAAUGGUGAUUAAACCAAAGUAAUGAAGACCAAGGCUCUGAUACCAAUUGAGAGGAUCGAGAAGAGGUGUCUAGAGGGGGGUGAUUAGACACUAAGUGCUAAAAGUAGCAGUUUUUAGUUUCUCUAAGUUUAAGUGGAGUUUAGGCACAAGUUUAACAAACACAAUACAUAUCAAGCAAGCAUGCAAAGAGUAUAUGAGCAGCACAAAGUAAAGCAUGCAACUUGAAAGAAUGUAAAGUGAAUGGUUUGGAGUGUUCAAACGCAAUUUGGAGACACGGUGAUUUUUGAGCCGUGGUUCUGAUAGGUUGUGCUAUCGUACAUCCAUGUUGAUGGAGACUUCAACCCACGAAGGGUAACGGCUGCACGAGUCCAUGGAGGGCUCCACCCAAGAAGGGUCCACGAAGAAGCAACCUUGUCUAUCCCACCAUGGUCGUCACCCACAAAGUACUUGCCUCACUAGCGGUAGAUCUUCACGAAGUAGGCGAUCUCCUUGCCCUUACAAACUCCUUGGUUCAACUCCACAAUCUUGUCGGUGGCUCCCAAGUGACACCUAGCCAAUCUAGGAGACAACACUCUCCAAGAAGUAACAAAUGGUGUGUUGAUGAUGAACUCCUUGCUCUUGUGCUUCAAAUGAUAGUAUCCCCAACACUCAACUCUCUCUCACAGGAUUUGGAUUUGGUGGAAAGAAGAUUUGAGUGGAAAGCAACUUGGGGAAGGCUAGAGAUCAAAGUUCAUAUGGUAGGAAUGGAAUAUCUUGGUCUCAACACAUGAGUAGGUACUUCUCUCUCAGAAAUGGUAAGUUGGAAGUGUAGGUUUGUUCUGAUGGCUCUCUCCAUGAAUGAAGAGGAGGUGGACGGGUAUAUAUAGCCUCCACACAAAAUCUAACCGUUGCACACAGUUUACCAAUCUCGGUGGGACCGAAUUGAGAAACUCGGUCUGACCAAUUCAGUAAAUAAUGUGACCGUUAGGGUUUUCGGUGGGACCGACAUGCAACUCGGUAGGACCGAUAUGGUUAGGGUUAGGGCAUAACGUAAUCUCGGUAAGACCGAUUACAAAACUCAGUGGGAUCGAUUUUGGUAAUAAGCUAACCAGAGAGUUGGUCAGGUAAACUUGGUGUGACCGAUUCUCUCAAUCUCGGUGGGACCGAAACGUUACAAAAAGGAAAGAGAGAGUUUACAUUGUAAUCUCGGUAGGACCGAUUACACAAACUCGGUGGGACCAAUUUUGGUAAUGGACAUACACGGCGAGAUUGCAAUCCCAUCUCGGUGAGACCGAGAUCCCUAUCGGUGAGACUGAUUUGCCUAGGGUUUGUGGCAGUGGCUAUGACAUCUGAACUUGGUGGCGCCAGAUAGAAAGAAUUGGUGGGGCCGAGUUGGACUUUAGGUUUAGGUCAUAUGUGGAUGUGGGAAAGCAGUUGAGGGUUUUGGAGCAUAUCACUAAGCACUAUGAAGCAAGAACCUCAUUAGGCAACACCUCAUCCCUCCUUGAUAGUAUUGACUUUUCCUAUAGACUCAAUGUGAUCUUGGAUCACUAAAUAUAAAAUGUAGAGUCUUGAGCUUGAAGCUUGAGCCAAUCCUUUUAUCUUUAGCAUCUUGAAGGGGUUCCUCAUCCUUUAGUCCAUGCCACUUCAUUGUUAAACUUAUCUGAAAACAUACUAGGUAAAAGUGUUAGUCCAACAAGAGAUAUGUUGUCAUUAAUUACCAAAAUCACCUAGGGAGCACUUGUGCUUUCAUGCAUGCGGCUAUUUGAAUGUCUAUACCCUUUGCAUGCGGUUAUUUGAUCGUGGGGACUUAAAAAAAUGAGGAAAUUCAGAUGUAUGCGGCUAUGGUUGGAUGGCGUCCUCCCACAUCCGUGUCCGCGGACUGGUCCCCCUAUCCGCGGACGGAUGCGGGGGGACAUUUGCGGGUUGCCAUUGGAUAUGCCCUUAGAAGUGGGGAAGUGCUCGACUACCACCACCGUCUUCAUCACUCAUGUGUUGUCACCACCAAUUUCCACGCCCCCAGCAGAUACAUGCGAUGUGAGACCACCGCUGCACAACCAUCCCUAUGCGUCAAGUCGUCAUCCAUAUUUUGCAUCUCUGCGCCGAAGUCAGCCACCAGAUCUGGAGAGACGGACCCUCACAAAGUCCUUUCUAUGGCAACAUCAAUCCCCAACGAGUCUGCCGCCGGCUACAGGAGUGGCCACCACAAGGACCGACACCGCUGGCGGAGCACACAUCAUGGACUACGACCUCGCUGGAGAGAACUCUAGACGCGUCGGUCCUGGUGCCAAUAUGGCUGGAUCUGGAGCACGAAAGGUUGAUCACGAUCGCCAACGUACGUCCGCAUGGAGCACAACUGUCGCUAGAUCAGGAGCGCACAGUCCAGAUCGGCGCCGUGUCUCCUCACCGAAGCACUAUGCCUCCCUGAGCAUGCCCGCCCGAGCCAACGCGAGAAUCCAGAGAGGGGCCCGACCACCAAAUGGGACAAGCAGAUGCAGCCCCGCUACAACCACCGUCCCAUGACAUGUGGAGAACCAGCCGACCAGCGGGCAGGCAUCCACGGCAGCCUGAAGGAAGUGGCUGAAAGGAUCGAUAUAGUUGACUAGAGGGGGGUGAAUAGGCAACUAGCAAUUUUUAGCUUUUCUUUACCAAAUUUAACUUUGCAUCAAAGUAGGUUGUCUAGAUAUGCAACUAGGUGAGCAACCUAUAUGAUGCAACAACAAUAAGCACACAAGCAAGCAAGGAUAGAGCACAAUAAAGCUUGCACAAGUAAAGGUGAGAGAUAACCAAAAGGGGAACCGAUGGAGACGAGGAUAUCUUACCGAAGUUCCUUCCUUUUGAGGAGGAGUGCGUCUCCGUUAGAGCGGUCUCGAGGCAUAGUGCUCCCCAAGAAGCCACUAGGGCCACUGUAUUCUCCUCACGCCCUCACACAAUGCGAGAUACCGUGAUUCCACUAUUGGUGCCCUUGGAGACGGCGACCGAACCUUUACAAACAAGGUUAGGGAAAUCUCCACAACUUAAUUGGAGGCUCCCAACGACACCACGAAGCUUCACUACAAUGGACUAUGGCUCCGCGGUGACCUCAACCGUCUAGGGUGCUCAAACACCCAAGAGUAACAAGAUCUGUAAGGGAUUAGUUGAGGGAAUCAAAUUUCUCUUGGUGGAAGUGUAGAUCGGGGCCUUCUCAACCAAUCCAUAGAAAAUCAACAAGUUUGAUUGGCUAGGAAGAGAGAUCGGGCGAAAGUGGAGCUUGGAGCAACAAUGGAGCUUGGGGAUGGAAGAGGUGAGUCUUCUUGGAGAAGAAGACCCCUUUAUAUAGUGGGGGGACACAUCCAACUGUUAUGCAGCCCGCGGCCCACAUUUGGACGGUACUACCAUUGCAGGAGCGGUAGUACCCUGCCAUAGCGGUACUAUCGCUGUGGCAAGCAGGCAUAAGGCAACCAGGGCUGAGGGAGAAGAAGUACACGCACUAGGGCGGUACUACCGCUGAUAAGCGGUACUGCCGCUCCCUACAGCUGCUGGAAAACAGGGGAGGGCAGCGAGCUGAGUGGCAGUUGGAGCGGACAUAGGAGCGGUACUACCGCUGAUAAGCGGUACUACCGCAACCUACUGCCGUUCCUACUACCGCUCCCCUGCAUGGUCAUUUAUGGAAACCCGACACAAAAAAUCAAGACCACAGCAGGGGCGGUAGUACCAGCGGCACUAACAAGCGGUACUACCGCCAAUAGGCGGUACUACCGCCCUGGCCGCGGUACUACCGCUUAGCACAUAGCACCCCUUGUUUUGCACAGCACGGAAACUCCAAAGAAGCAGGAAGAAAGAGAGGGUGCAAGGAGAAUGUGAACGUGAUGAUUCCACUCAUACUCUUCCGAAACGGAUCCCCUCUUGAUAGUACGGUUAUCCCUACGACUCAAUUCCACCGAAAAGAAACGAAGGAAAAUAAUCCGUUUAAAGUGAAGUCCUCGAGGGGUAACAAUCGCAUAGUGCCCUUAUAUUAGAUAACCUGAAAAGCUUAAUGCACAUGAUUAGUCCACAAAUGUAUUGUCAUCAAUCACCAAAACAAACCGGGGGAAAUAAUGCCCUAACAUUGGCCCCAGACCAGCCCGUGCUGGCACGCACACGAAGAGGCCCGCCGCCAUCCGCAGUCACCCCAGAUUGGAUUGAUGGCGCAACCCUUUGCACCGGCUAUGCCUAGCAUAACCAUGUAUGCGCCGCCACAAAGAUGCAGAGGACCGCCCCGAUGUCAUGGCCCACACCAUGCGCCCGCGCCACGCCACACCAGCAGAGAACUAGAACCCCGUCGCUACUUUCCUCGGGGCCGCCCCGAGCUUCGCUAGUGGGCGCCCUCCGGCGGCCGCGAGAUGAGGGACAAGGAGGAUAAACUGGCGGCGCAAGGGUUACUACCCCCAAGUCGCGAGAGGAAGGUGACGUGGGGGCGAGUUUUCCCGAUCCGGUUUUUCUGGAGUCCUGACAAAACAUCAAAGGAACAACAAUUUAAAGCAUAGUUAAAGAAUAUAUAUUUGUAUCAAAUAUAUAAAUAUUAUGGUAGAAUACGGUAUCAAAUUUAUAAGAUUAUGUGGCCGAGUAUCUAUUUUUAGCUUGACCUCAAUGAUUCAUGUGGUGCCUAUUUCUAUGGUCAGGUGGUGUGAACGAUAUCAACCUGGUCCGGUCUCGCCAUGUAAAGCUCGUUCACGGAUCAUACAUUGACGUUUGACCUAAUGAAUGAGGCUAAACUAAGGGGGUAUUUGUUUCCAGGGACUUUUUGAUGUAGGGACUAGAAAAAGUCCCUCUUAGAGACUUUUUAACUAAACAGGAGGGACUACCAGGGACUCAAAGUUGUUUUUCGAGACUAAAUGAGGAAGACUCUCAAGAAUAGUUAUUUUUUGGGACUUUUUCAAUAAUACCCCUCCCUGCACCCAUUGCCCCGUUGCCCCAUGAUGUUGUUUGAUUAUUAUUUUUCUGUAUACUAGGGGUAAGAUGGUCAUUUAAUAACCUCUAAGGAGGGACUAGGAAUUUUUUUUGUCCCUGGAAACAAACAGGGAGUAGUUGGGACUACAAAAAAUCUUAGGACUUAUGAACCAAACAGGACCUAAUUCCCGCAAAAAUAGAAGUGGAAUGAAAUCAAAUUAAAUAAUCAUUUCUAGCAGGCAACCUGGAUCUGGAUGCAUGCAUCUACAAAUAUAUAUAGUUGCGCUUUUGUACAUUACGUCGUAAUUUAUUGUUAGAUUCUUCGUGUACACGUUCGAUAUCGCCGUGUGUAUUUAUAGUAUUGUGCUAUUUCCAACAACUGAACCUUUGAAAGUAAUCGUCGCGUUGUCAAAGGGGACUCCUGGGCGGGUCUUUAGUUGGUAGUCAAACCUACGAAAUAAUCAAAUAUAUGACGACCAUACAGAAUUCGGCCGUAGCUAGCUAGUCCGGAAAGCUCAUGGGUCCAGAGACGUUGUAGUACCAUGCAACAUGAGUCGUACUCCACAUACGUACAGGGUCCGUUUAGCGAUCAACCUGACAGAGACGUUGCCAUUGACCCCAUGUUUUCGCUAGGUCUGCUAGGUGAUGCAUAUAUUAAGAGCGUAUCCAGCCGUUGGCCCCCAGGCGACUAAAAAAAUCACCGUCUAGGGACGAAUCAGCGCUAAAAUUGACUUGGGGGCGAUUGAGUUCCUAGCCAAUACCCCAGGAUCAGCCCCAGGCGCCUGGUUUUAACCUUUUUUGAACAUUUAUUUGACUAAAAUUCGGCGAACGGGAUAAAUAUUCGACGAAACAGUACAUUAUCUCAGCGAACUGAAAUAUUUUUUAUAUAGAUAAAAUACUUAGAGAAAAAAACAAACAGGCCGCGACUACAGGCCGAAUAACGCGUUGAGAGAGGCGAGGUCGUCGUCGUCCUUCUCCUCCUUCACGCGGACGCCACUGCUGAACCCUUGCCCAGGGUCGCCCUGGCGGACCGGCGGCGGUGGCGCGUCGUCGUCGAGGACGACGACACCUCCCUCGUCACGGCCACGGCGCCAAGCGGCGAACUGCUCAAAGGCGCGGCGUUGGCGCUCCAGCUCCGUUCGCGCCCAGUCUUCGCGCGCCCACUUCAAGGCCGUCGCGUUGUCGAUCCCUGGCUCCGUCUUCACAGCGGCUAGCCCUGGCUCCGUCUUCGGCUUGACGAAGCAGGGAGGAGCCGAGGAGGCGCGCCCGCCCUUGUUGAUGACGAUGUCGGCGCUGCGGGUGUGCCGGCCGAGCGGCGUCUCCGCGGGCUCGGCCUUGACGCUGAACAACGCCGACGAGAUGGAGCAGUGGGAGGAGGAAGAAGAGGAGCCGGCCCUCCUCGGCAUCCAUUGGCCGCCGCUCCGGCGGGGGACCGGGGCGGCAGGGUUCCUCAACGGUGGGUCGUUGCCGCCCUCAAGGUGCUGGAGGACGGCGUGGAGAGUGCGGCCGGGGGCGCCCUACCAGAGGCGGCGGCCCUCAUUGUUCCUGGUCCCCCGAACCACCGGCUCCCCGUUGGUGGAGGCCAGUUGUUACGCCUGCCGGCGCUGGAAGUACGCCGCCCACGCUUCGUGGUUGCCGGCGGCGUACUGUGGGAGGGCCCGUUGCUCCUCCGUCAGUGACGCCCGCACGCGGUCGACCUCGUCGGCGAAGUAGUCGGCGCGCGCGGUGACGUCUUGCAGCGAGGGAAUGGGGACGCCACCGGCGCUGAGCUUCCACCGCCCCGGCGCGCGCAUGUCGGGAGGCGCCGGGGCGUCGGCCUUGAAGAGCAGGUAGGCUUCCCACUCGUGCAACGAGUGGCGGCCGAAGCUAUCGACCGCCGUCCUAUCGCCGAGAAACCUCUCGCCCAUCGUCGCGGCUGGGAAAGGGAAGAGAGGGGAGGAACGUCGGCGGCGUCGGCGCACGAGGAGAGAGCUCGGCAGCUGUGGGCGGGGUGCGGCCACAGGCGAGGCGGAGCCCUGCUUAUAUAGCAGCCGGGGGAUCGACGCCGUGUGUAUGCGUGGCGGGAGGUGGUGCGUCGCCGCGCCCGCGCCGCCCGUGACGAAUCAAUGAAAGGCUGACCGGCGGCAGCCUUGGCAUUGAUUCCCCGCGGGAAACCAAGGCGAUGAGGACGACGAGGCGCGUGGGUCACUGACUCGACGGGCCCACCGUUCUUUCAUGCCAAAACGAUUGCCCCGACGCCCCCCGGCGUGCCUGGUUCGGUCUGGGUCCACCCGCGCCAGUUUCGGUCCAAAGCGACGAAAAACAGGCUCCUGGAUGCGCGACUGGGCCGAUUUUUGCACGCCAGCGCUAAAAAUCGCCUGGGGACCUGUUGGGGUCUCGGCUAGAGAUGCUCUAAGGAUCCUGUUUUUAUAAGGUUGCGCCUUUCCUUCCUUGUUAGCUUCUUGAUCACUGCUCCCUCCGUUUCAUAAUGUAAUGCUUAUAGAUUUUUGCACAAGUCAAACAUUCCAAACUUUGACCAUAUUUAUAGAGAAAAGUAGGUACAUCUAGAAUAUCAAAUGCACAUCAUUGAAUACAUCGUGAGUUAUAUUUUCAGAAUGUACAUGUUUGGUAUUGUAGAUGUAGAUAGUUUUCUCUAUACACUUGGUCAAAGUUGGUAAAGUUUGACUUUCACAAAAAUCUAUAGGCACUACAUUGUGGAAUGGAGGGAGUAUAUUUAUUAAUCAUUACAUCGGUCAAUUUAUUAAUUGUUACAUCGCCUUGACUCAAGUGGUCAUCAGAUCGGCACAUGCGCAAGCAAGCGCAAAGCCACUGAUACGUACAGUACGAACUUGCCGAAGAAGCAGAAGCGUAAGAAAACUGAGAUAUGCAUUCGGUUUUUGCCUCGGUUUCCAACCGGAACCUUUCAUAUUUCAUAGCACGAAAUAAUAAGCUCAGGAAUGGUUGUAUGAUCAGCGCAAACAGAGCCAAUUCGCUCUGGUGUUCCAUGUCGCGAACGAAGCUAUCCCUCGGCUGGAUUGUGCCAAAGAUUCCCGUCUGCUCCCCGGUGAGGAACGCCGUCGCCACAGUUUAUUUAUGUUUUUUAUUGAUUUUUGUUGGGUUCUUUUUAUUUUUCAAGUUUGUUAUUAUUCUUUCUUUCUUUCAAUUACGUGUUUAGUUUUUUAAUAUCAGUUGUAAAUUUUCCAUGUACACGUGGAGCAUAUUUCUAUUUAUGUUUGAACAUUUUUCAAGAUACAAGAUGAACCAUUUUCCCUUUUUUUUAAAUAUACAUUUAAACAUUUUUUUCUUAUACAUGUGAAAUAUUUUUCGAGCACACUUUGAAUAUUUUUUAGGGUACAAAUAUUUUUGUAAAAUUAUCCAAAAUAAUUUUUUGACAAUGUACAAAUAUUUUUUAUAAUGCCACGAACAUAGUUCUGGAAAUGUGAACAUUUCUUAAAAAUUAUAAAUGCAUUUAUUUGAAAGGUAUGGUUUCUUACAAAUAAAAUGAUUUUUCAAAAAAAAAUCACAAAUAUAUUUUUGAUUCAUGUGAGCAUUUUGUAAAAUGACAGAUGCAUUUUUUUUCUAAUGGUAAUAUUUUUAGAAAAAACAUACAUGAGCAAUUUUCUUACAUUGUAUAAAUACUUUUUUAUAUUUCAUGUUUUUUAAAAUGCAUGAACACCAGCACGCAGCCCACCUCGUGCCGCCCUCCACGCCCGCCACUAUGGGAAAAAAGUUUAUAUGAGACCAGGUCUCUCGGUGGUGAGACCCGCCCUGAUGAAUGUCACGUGUCAUCCAUCAGGAUGGGUCUCACCUGCUAACCCGUGAGACCUGGUCUCAUAGAAUUCUUUUCCCCACUAUGGCAGCCCAGCGUUGCCGCGUCCCGCGCCAUGCCGCGUUCCGGCCAGGGUAGAUCGCCCCAUGGCGAUCCAGCCUCGCGAGAAGNNNNNNNNNNNNNNNNNNNNNNNNNNNNNNNNNNNNNNNNNNNNNNNNNNNNNNNNNNNNNNNNNNNNNNNNNNNNNNNNNNNNNNNNNNNNNNNNNNNNNNNNNNNNNNNNNNNNNNNNNNNNNNNNNNNNNNNNNNNNNNNNNNNNNNNNNNNNNNNNNNNGUGACAUUCACAAAUCACAAAGCAUCUAAUCUCUCCCCCCUGAUUUUAGAUGUGGGUGCGGUAGAUGCUUUGUGAUUUGUGAAUGUCACGUGUCAUCCAUCAGGAUGGGUCUCACCUGCUAACCCGUGAGACCUGGUCUCAUAGAAUUCUUUUCCCCACUAUGGCAGCCCAGCGUUGCCGCGUCCCGCGCCAUGCCGCGUUCCGGCCAGGGUAGAUCGCCCCAUGGCGAUCCAGCCUCGCGAGAAGGAGAAAGCGCCCUGCCGCCGCCCAUGCCGGGCGGGCCGCCGGCACGCCCUGGUAGCGGCGAGGGAAGGGAAGGAGGAGGAGGUCGCGGUCUGGCGGCGUCUAGGGUUUCCUCGCCUACCGCCGUGGGAGCACCAGAGGAGGGGUCACUCGUUGGUACAGACUUGAAACUAUAUUUAGUAGUGCAGAUCUUGUUCAGUUCUUACAGGACUGUGGUUAUUUAUAUGGAUCGACUCGAAUUAUCACCCCGAUCAUAUGAUUGGAUGACAUUCGUCACAAUGUGGGGCUGAGGGUAUCAUGGUGUGACGUCCUACCUUUUCUUCAGAGCAUGCGGGCGGUACGUGCCUCUUUUCCGGUCAAAUACCUAGGACUACCACUCUCUGUUUGGCAACUGGAGAAGGUGGAUUUCCAAUACCUUGAGGACAAAGCGGCCGGCAAAUUGGUCACUUGGGAGAGCCAAAACAUCACUACGAUCGGUCGUAUGACACUUGUUAGGUCGGUCAUUACCUCCCAAGCAGUAUUCUCCAUCACGCCCCUCAUCGUGCCUCAGAGCUCUCUCCAUAGCCUUAACAAAAUUGAGAGAGCUUUCCUUUGGUCCGGCUCGGACAAGACAACGGGAGCCAAAUGCAAGGUCAACUGGAAGGUGGUUUGUAGACCAAAAGAAUAUGGUGGCCUCGGGGUGCUGGACACCGACAAGUUUGCACGUGCUUUGCGGCUCCGAUGGCUAUGGUAUGAAUGGACGGAGCCCCGAAGAUUAUGGGUUGGCCUUGGAAACCCGUGCACGGAGGAGGACCUCGAGUUUUUCUAUGCCUCUACGACUAUCACUGUAGGGGAUGGCGCCAAAACGCCUUUUUGGGGCUCGUCGUGGCUUCUUGGUCGCAAACCCAAGGAUAUCGCGCCACUCUUGUUUGCGGCCUCGAGAAGGAAGAAUUGGAAGGUCCGUGAGGCCCUCGUGGGGAACGCUUGGAUCUUCAAGAUCAAUCUGAACACGGACACGGAUGUCUCCAUUGCCCAUAUUAGGGAGUUCUUCACUCUUUGGAUGCCCCUUAAUGACGUCCAUCUUCAUGAGCAAACCGAAGACCUCAUCAUUUGGAAGCAUGCGAACGAUGGGAUCUACACGGCGGCCACCGCAUACAAGCCUCAAUUCCUAGGCAUGACUCUUUCCCUCUUGGAUCGCAUGGUUUGGAAGGCAUGGGCACCUCCAAAGGUUAAGUUUUUUGCUUGGUUGGCGUUGCAAGAUAGGAUUUGGACCGCCGAUCGCUUGGAGCGUCGAGGUUGGCCAAAUUGUGGCCUUUGCAAGCUCUGCAAUAGGGAGCAAGAAUCAGGAGCCCACCUUUUCUUCAAGUGCCGCUACACGAUUCGGCUAUGGAAGUCUCUUAUUGAGAAACUAGGUCUUGCGCACAUGGAUACUUCCGAUUGGCUCAUGGACGACUCUGUCUACCAGUGGUGGGACAAGAGAACCGACAACCGCAACCCUAACCGGCAAGCUAUGGCCUCCCUCAUCAUGCUCGUCUCUUGGACCAUUUGGAAUGAAAGAAAUGCACGAGUGUUCCGCCACAAAAGUGCACCACCGACCAUCCUACUCACCGCCAUCGUCGACGAGGCCAAGCUUUGAAUGGCCGCGGGCGCAAAGAAAUUAGGGAAUUUUUUUCUGGGCGAGUAAUUGUCAUGCCGAAAGUGUGGGUGUGUUGUAAUUCUCUAAACUCUAUUCUCUCCUUAUUUAAUAGAUGAGGCAAAUCUUAUGCCUCCGUUUCGAAAAAAAAAACUGGAAAUUAGCCAAGCGAACUCGUAAAUAGAUAGAGUUUCUCUUGUUUUUUUUUUCAUUUCCUUCAAUGAAUUAAUAAACACGCGUCUGUAUAUUUGUAGUUGCUGGCAAAAUUAGAGUACUUAAAAUUCGCUCUCUGGCAGUUACAUGGUCAGAAGUACAGCGGGUACUGGUGAUGGUAGUAGGAGCUGGGCGGGUAGAAGAAGUACGGCGGCGGGUUCACGGGCUCAGGCACGGCCGGCUUCGGCUCAUCCUUCUUCUUCUCCUCCGGUUUCUUCACUUCCUCCACCUUGACGAUUUGGGCGUGGCCGAGCUUCUUGCGGAGGGAGCAGACAAGGCACACCGGGUCGACGCCGUCGCCGACCACCUCCAGCUGGUCCCUGGCGUCUCCGGUUAUCCCCAUGGACGUCACCCCGGCUGCUUUGGCGGCCAGCGUCAGUGCUUUCGACCGGCUUUUAUCGCACGACAUGCUCAACUGGAUGACAAUCUUUUGCUGCAACAACAAAGAGAAAAACGAUGGAUCAGUUGUAUGCUGCAGCAUCAGACUACUGUAUCGAUGACUCAAAAUUGAGCUGCUAAACGAAGCAACACCAGAAAUCAACAAAAACUAGCUAGGAGCAGAAACUGAAUUGGGUUACUCACCUUCAUUGCUGCUGCUGGGUUGUUAGAUGCCUAGCUGCCAAGGGGAGAUGCUCGUGUUCGAGCGAGGCUAGCUAGAUUGGUUUGAGUAGCUAGUCUGUGAUGAUUUUGUGAAGGCUAUAGCCGCCUGCCCGCCUUAUAUACACGCACGCAGUGGGCGCGGGUGUGGGAGCGGAGAAGUGGAGCUAUGUCAGUAUCAGGAGCGAUCCCAACGCACUAUCCAACGAGCUGUAAGAAGAUUCGUAGCAGCAACGGUGGCAGGCAGCAGUUGAGCUCAGUGAGUAAACAACUGCGCAACUGGGCAAGUACUGUACUAGCCAUACAUGUAAACGCGUCCUCAUCAUAACAAUCUCUCGGUUGAAUAUUCCUGAUCGGCAGGCUACCCAUGGAGAGACAGUAGAGAGUAUCAACUUUUAGCAAGACCUCAUUGAUUUAUGUGGUGCCCUAUUUCUAUGGCCAGGUGGUGUGAACGAUAUCAACGACCUGGUCCGGUCUCGCCAUGUAAAGCUCGUUCACAGGUCAUACGUUAACAUCUGACCUAAUGAAUCAGGUUAAACUAAUUCCCGCAAAAAUAAAAGUGGAAUCAAAUCAAAUUAAUUAAUUAUUUUUAGCAGGUAACCUAGAUCUGGAUGCAUGCAUUGAUAAAUAUAGUUGCGCUUUUGUACAUUUCGUUGUAAUUUAUUGUUAGAUUCUUUGUACACGUUCGAUAUCGCCGUGUGUGUUUAUAUAGUAUAUAUUGUGCUAUUUUCAACAACUGAACCUUGGAAAGUAAUCGUCGUGUUGUCAAAGCUGAAAGGGGACCUUUCAUGGACUCCUGGGCGGGUAUUUAGCCAGUAGUCAAACCUACGAAAUAAUCAAUACAUGAUGACCAUACAGAAUUCGGCCGUAGGCUAGUCCACAGAGCUGAUGGGUCCAGAGACGUUGUACUAGCUAGUAUGCCAUGCAACAUGAGUCGUACGUACAUACCUACAGGGUCAGUUUGGCGAUCAACAUGACAUAGACGUUGUGCCAUUGACCUGCACAAAUAGCCCCAGUAAACCCCAUGUUCUCGCUAUUGUAUGUGCAGGUCUGGUACGUGACACAUAUAUUAAGCAUCCUGUUCUUGUUAUGAUGCGCCUCUCCUCCUUUGUUACUUUGUUAGGUUCUUGCUACUAUCAUUUUUUAAGAUAAGAUCUAUUAUAAAGAUUCAUUGAAAGUAAAAAGCAGUUCAAACAUAAUAAAAAUUAUAUCGAGGUACAUGGAUCACCGAACGACCAUUGUCGUCACCAUAACGAGCCGCCGACGUGUCAUUAUCACCGCUCCCAUACCGAAGCCAGCCUCGCCUUGUCGAUGACGACCGGAAAAUCUUCAAAUCGGCAUAAAUGGUCAUCAGAUCGUUAGUACAUUGGUUUGACAUGAGUGGUCAUUAGAUCGACACAUGCGCAAGCGCAAGGUCACGUGUACGGACUUGCCGAAGAAGCAGUCGACCGAGAAACUAAAAAUGUGUUCUGUUUUUGCCUCAAUUUCCAACUGAAACCUUUCAUAUUUCCUCGAACUAAUUAAUAAACUCAUGAAUGGUUGUGGGAUUAGCCCAAACAGAGCCAAUUCGCUAUGUUAUUCCAAGUCGCGAAUGAAGCUAUAAUUCGGUUGGAUUGCGCCAAAGAUUUUCAUCUGCUAACCGAUGAGGAACGUCGUCUCCACAGUUUCCACAAUGGGAGAUGCUUGGUGCUGGCUUCCCUAUAGAGGAUUGGCCUUCGCUAGCGUGCACGGGUCCAUCAGGAUUCGAAGUACUCCCACAAUCCCACAACUGCAAGCGGUAAAUGCUUUUUUUAGCGAAGCAGUAAAUGCUAGUUUUUAAAGGUGAACUAGGGAUUUAUUCAAGUUUCAUAAUAGAAGGAAUACAAAUGAUGUCUGGAAGGAUCCCUAACCACAUGUGGCAUCCAACAGAGAGCGACGAAGCUGCCUUAGCUAGGGCAUGAGCUUCCAAGUUUGUCUUCCUAUUCUCGAAACGAAAACUAAGUUUUACAAAAUCUUUAGUUCUUUCUCUAAUUUCACUUAAAACUAAAGCAUAAGAAGGAGCAGCAACUCCAUUUAUGUUUGUGACGACCUGCAUGCAGUCCAGCCAAUAACCACAUGUGAUAGAUCAAGAUCUUCAGUGAGGGUCAGCGCUUCAUUGCAUGCUUGAGCUUCGAGACUGGGAGCGUCAACCAAACCAUCAAAAACCACGGCCGAGGGAUCCAAGGUACUGGCCGUCCUUGUCCCUACAAACAGCCGCUGCAGCUCCUUUUCUUCCCUGCCGAGACAUUGCCCCAUCAACGUUUAUCUUGGUUGCUUCCUCUCCUCGAGGCUUCCAAUGAUUAGAUCUAGGUGGUGCUGCUCACGUAUUGCUAGAAUUCCUGGCAGUGGCAAUCUAAAGGUCCUGCAAAUAACGGUUCACAAAAUACAUCAUAGAGAAAGGGCUUUGGAAUUCAUCGUCGUGUAUCGCUUUCCUCUUUGCUCACCAAAUUGCCCACAUGGUGAUGAGCGCCCUCGCGAGGUCCUGCUGGUUCAUCGUCUUGAAAAGCCAGAACAACCAUAAUCGAGCAUCAUUGUUUCUGUUAGACAGCAAGUGUUCCAACACUUCUUCAUCACCCAAAGUCUAGACACAACAUGCCAUGCGACACUCAAACAACGAGUGGCGCCAUGAAUCAGCAUUAGCAUUACAAAUAAAGCACACUGAUGAGGUGGCCAUCUUUCUCUCAUGGCGAUUGUAAUGCUAAUGCUGAUUCAUGGCGCCACUCGUUCCACAAACCAAUCCAGGAUUUGCAAGGACAUUUGCGCCAAUCUCCAUACAAAUGUUCAAAUUUUAUAGGGUACCUUCACCUUCCACAAACUAGUCCAGGAUUUGCUAUCCGCUUCUCUAUUCGAUCGGCCCUGCUUGUGCUCAAGCCACUCCUCCCACCAAUGCUUUAUCCCAUUAAUCAUCUUAUAAGCUGAUUUGACAGAGAAUACACAUCUCCUAUCAUAAUGCCAAGCCCAACAAUCAAGUUGUACCUGUGUACUGAGUGGUAUAUUCAUGAUUACCUUCACAUCUGGAUUGAUAAAAUAUUAGUUGACGCUUAUCUAGCGUGAGGCACACUAAAGCGAGAAGUAGGCCGGCCAAGUAAUAUGAAGUGUACGGUGGAGCUAAAAUCUGGUUUUCUGAAGAUUUUAAAAGUUUCUAUGAGUGAUUCUUUUUCUAUUUUUUUUCUCUUGGUUCUUUCUGAUUUUGUAGUUUUUCUUUUUCUUUUUGUUUGUUUUUUAUUUUCUUAAUUUCUUUUAAUUUUUUCAUUUAAUGAAUUCAUGAUUUUUUUCAACUUCUUGAAUAUUUUUAAAUUAGUAUAAUAAUUUGUCAAAAUUAGGAAUCUUUAUCAAAUUUGUGAACUUUUCUUUAAAUUCUUGAACUUUUUUGAAAUGCACGGAGUUUUAUCAAAUACAUGUUUGUUUUUCAUACCGGCAAAUAUUUUUUAUCUUCUAAUUCACUAAGUUUUUUUUAAAUGUACUAACCUUUUUCAAAUCAAUGAUUUUUUUAAAAGAUUGUGAACUUUUCCUAGAUCUGCCGACAUUUUCAAAUUUUUUUUAAAAAAUUUAGAAGUUUUCUUCAUUAUAUAUUUUUAUAAAUUUUUGUGCUUUUAAGAUUUUACCAUGUAAUUUUUUAAAUGCGUAAAAAAACUGCUACGAGCGAGCAGUGGCUAGCGCCAAGAACCAACCAGACACCAAAAUUUAAUGGGUCGCAGCCCCGCUUCCAAGUGCGCGAGCGCCAAACGCUUUAAGCGCUGAAUACGCACUCUCAGCAUCUGUUCCCCGCCAUUGCUUUGUCUCCCUUAUUGCCACACGUAGCUCCGCGAGAGCUAUAUCUCGCUUAGUCCAAGACUAGCUUCUGUCUCGCUAUAGGAUUUCCCGUGCUAUCUACAGUAACAGCCGGCCUGUUUCUGCGCGCUCACAGCUCGUUCGCUCGCUGUGUUUUGUUCGGUUUUAUCGAUUUCCUUCUUUUUUUUGUCCUUUUUUUUGUCUCUUCAUGGUUUGUUAUGUUUUUUGUUUCUCCAUAGAGUUUUUCAUUUUUUUUCUUUUAUUCUGUUUUUUACUAUUUUUUCUUUUUCCCUGUUUUUAGUUUUUCUUUAGUUUCUUUCUUCAUUUUUAUUUGUUUUCCUUUUCUAUUUACUAGUAAGCAUGUACGUGUAACACACGUCUCGAUUAUGAAACAGAAAUAUUUCUAUCAUAAUUCAAAUUUAAAUCAUAAAGACGUGUUGAUGUUUUAUGAACCAAUGUGCCCCUUGUCCAAAUAGGGCAAUCGCAGUCAGCGAUCGAAACGUGCACGCCGUUGGAUUUACCUGACUACCCUUGCUUCGGUACUCCACAGCACCACUUGUUGUGCCACUCCACAUGUUGUUGUCACCAGUCCUAAUUCCUACACUCAAAUAAUCACUUGUUAUUCAGGGCAUAAAGUUGUCAUUGUAUCCAUGAUUGAAUUAAAUUUGAGGUAUAAUAUUUCCAAUCAAGAAAAUACAUCUUCAAUCUUAUUGUCAAUGAGCACCGGAAAUGUUGACACUGUUGUACCCUGCAGUACAUAGCUUCAUGUAGCAAGACGUAAAACGUUGGCAUUGUUCUCGAUGAAUUUGCUAAUAAAAUUUAACAUUCAAGUAGGUAUAAGCGUGUAAGCCACGCGGAACCAUUCUUUGAGGCAAUCAACAUUGCUUCAAAGCAAAAGAAAUUGACAAAUGAAAGAACACAUCAACGUAGAACCAUGACAGGUUAUCUCUGCAUAAUAAUACUAACAAACUUCGUAAACACGUAAGAAAAAAGUACAGUCAUGAACCAUGGUGCAUAUAUAUAGCAAUGUCUGAAUUAAGAUGAUGAGCAUUACAACAGGGGGAGAUCAUUGACCUUAAAUCUCUUACAUAUGAACAUGUCUUCUCUAAAUGUAAGCCAUGGCUGAGAAGCAAGCCGGAUCCGGAUAUUCAGUAACUAAAGCCAGAAACUUAUCCACCUCUUCAUAUUUAAACAACAUAUUUCUUC